UUUUUUUUUUUUUUUUUUUUGGUGAUAUCAUGCCGUGCCGUGAGAACACUGUAAGAAUAUUCUUUUUCUUUUUCUUUGUUGUUAGUACAAAAGUCACGUAGCGGAAAUAACAUUAAAAAUCUUACAAAUAAGAAAGGCACAGGAGAAAACAAAAUAUUCUGUUUCAAUUUACUAAUUUCCCUCAACUACAAACUUAGGACUUCAAGUCCUUAAAUAAAGAAAUAUAAUCACAAAUCUUACUCUAAUUAUAAUAUCAAAAUAUGACUCAACUCUAUUUCCUAAACCAACUGUGACAACAAAUUUAAUAUAGUUAUCAAAUAACAAAUCAAUUUCUAAAACUAUUAAGAUCCUAAAUAUGCUUAGUUAAAAUAUUUCAAAAAUGCUUCCUUUAAAUCAACUCUUAAUUUUGUCAUUUCCAAUGCCAUUACGAGUUUCAAUCGCUUUUGCAACCUUUGUAGCAGUACAACUCAAGUGGAACUCCAAUUUGUAGCUGAUACCUAUCUGCAUAUUUGCACGUGGAAGUGGACUAUCUGCAUACAAUUUUGCUGCUAAUUCUCCUCGAUCAAAAAAGUCAUCCAUAUUGACCCAUUCGCAAUUAGAGCCACCAUAUUUCCUUGAUUAACAAUCAACAUAACUUUCAACUAAUAAAACAUACUAUUCAUAAUCUUCUUUAUGGUAAUAAUUUCCACCAUUAACAAAUUCUCUCUCCAUGGCAAUUCAAAGCAAUUUACGUACAUUCACAAAAUUUUUCUUCUCUGCUUGAAUUUCUUGGUUUCCUUGGCUUCAAAUUUGAUCAAACAACACUGUAAUAAUCAACAAUCUGGUAGGACCUUUUUUCUUUGAUCACUAUACAAUUUUAACAAUCUUAAUAGAGUCCCUCUGGACUUUUUUUAGACCUCUAUUCAAUUAGGGCCAUUGUUUCCUAAUUCCAAUCAAUGAAUGACUACUCCAAGACCAACUCUCGUUGUCCAAUUUUUCAAUAUACGAGUACUUUAUCACAAUCUCUGUACCCUUGGCACAGGUUUCUCUAUCAAAAAUUCUGCACACCCUUCAUGCACCAUAGAUACUUCAAGAUCAAACUCUUGAACUUAAGGUUUUGAUAUAGCACUUGUUAGUAUAAAAGAUCACGCAGUGGAAGUAACACUAAAAUCUUACAAAUAAGAAAGGCAUGGGAAGAAACAAAAUAUUUUGCUUCAAUUCACUAAUUUUCCUCAACUACAAAUUUAAAACUCCAAGUCUUUAAAUAGAGAAAUAUAACUACAAAUCCUAUUUUAAUUAUAAUAUCAAAACAUGACUCAACUGUUUUUUCUAAAUCAACUAUGAUACCAAAUCUAAUAUAGUUACCAAAUAAUAAAUCAAUUUUUAAAACUAUUAAGAUUCUAAAUAUGUUUGAUUUAAAAUAUGUCAACAUUUGUGAUAUGAAAUCCUCCUCCUCCUCCUUCUUCUUCUUCUUGCACAUUUUUUAACAAAAAUGUAAAACAAAAAAAGAGAGGAUGUGUUACUACUGGCUUGAAUAAGUGUAUUUAAAAAUUACAUGAAAUAGAAUAAGAAUUGUAUAUUCUCAGUCAUAUAAAUUUUGUUAUCUUGUUGAAGAAAUUUAAAAUCAUUGAUUGUACACAGACUAGCUAGACAAUUGGUUGCAUACAAAUAAUUGGGAGGCAUACAAAUAAUUGGGAGACAAUGUGACUUAACAAGGGCCCUGAUCACGGGCAUUCUAAAUCUGAAUGUUCAAAUGUCACACGCAGUAGCACUCCAGCAUCUGCUGCAGUUAUGCUGUACUACGUAAUUAUAUAUAUUAAAUGUGAAAUUUAAUAAAGCUUCGAGGAGAUUAAACAAGAAAUUUUCCUUUCUGUGAUAUUCUGCAAAAAUAAGAUGUCUGGGCACAUGUUAUCUUACGGUGUAGUUACAACCAUGGUAAAAAGGAAGAUGAUUGUUUGCUUGUUGGUUUUGAACAAAAUAAUUUGGUUUGGUGGAAUAGGAAGAUUCUGAAUUAUAUAAUAUAUACCUAUGUUUGAAGUAAUUUACGAAAGUUUUAUUUGUACUUUUCCCCCCAUAGAGUAAUGGAGAAAGAAGUAGUUGCGGCAAGUUGUUUACAGCCAGAAAUUCUGGUUCCUCGUUCUAAGGCCAGAGAUUGCCUAAUUUUAUUUUGUUCGUCAUUAUUUGUAAAAUUGAGACACUAUUAUGCAGUGAAAUACGUAAGAAAUGCCACUUGAUGUUUCAAGAAACCACUUGUCUGAUUCGAUAUUGUGCCCAUCCCAUUAAUGGCUUGUCAUCUGCUCCAUUAUUUCUUUGUAAAAUGACAUGUCGACUGGUGUUAUAGUAGAAAAUGAACACACAUUGUCAAGCUAGUCAGUGGAAUAGAUGUGAAUACGAAACUGAACUUUUGACUCGUGAGGAAGCGGCUCCAAUGAUUUAAGUUAUCAUUGAAGAAGAAAUACUUGCGUUUAGUGAAGAUAUUCUGAUCCGGCCCGGCAUUAUGACAGUGAUGGGAACAGCAGGUUUUCCUGAUAAGAAUCUCAUUUUAUUUUUAUUCAAACACAUAAUAAAUAGUUUGCUUGACAUAGGCCCAAGGUUGUUACUCGAGGAAUCCUUGACUCAAUUUAUAGUUUUUUUUUUUUUUUGUAAUUGAAUUAUCGCAUAUUUAAUUUUUGCAUGAAAUCGUCAGAGGUGGACAGGGCACCAACUUCAAGAAUUUUGUUUAGAGAUAAUUUCAGAAACCUCCUUUGAGGUUUCUGACUAUUUCACUUGUCUCCCUCUAGGUUUUCAAAAUUAUACUAACCUCCCGUAAGAUUAAUUAUUUUUGUAACAUUUAGGUCCGUCAAUAAUUAAAAAGUGAUAUUAGGAGAGAGAGAUGAUAAUAUGAUUCCAUCAAACCCCUCAUCUACUUUAAUUAAUUUAAUACCAACCCACACAUUAAAGAAAAAACACUAAAAUUUAAUGUUUAUCAUUAGGGAUCAAAUCACAUAUAGUAUUAAAAAUAGCGUAUCAUUUUAUAUUUUUUAUUUAAUAUAAGAUCCAAAUUACUCUUUUCAGUUACAUACCCAUUGUCAAACUUGGUCAAUAACAAAUAAUCAAAAAAUCAUAUUAUAGAGAACAAACUUUAACAUCAUAAAUAUUCUUGUCAACAUAUUUAAAUUAGUUGUUUAGAUUUUUAUGGUAUUAAAGGUCGCUCUUUGUAAUAUUUUGAUUACAUAUUUUUUGAUUAUUUGUUGUUGAUCAUGUUUGACAAUGAGUUUGUAACUAAAAAGAACAAUAUGAAUCUUAUAUUAAGUGAAAUAUAUAUAAUGAUAUACUAUUUUUUAUGCCACAUGUGAUUGAAUCUCUAAUGAUAAAUAGCAGAUUUUAGUGUUUUCUUUAAUGUUUAGAUUGGAAUUAGAUUAAUUAAAUAAUUUAGUAGAUGAGAGAUAAUGGUGGAAUCAUAUUAUCUUCUCUCUCCUAGUAUCACUUUUUAAUUGUUGGUUGGACCUAAAUGUUAUAAGAUAAUAAACCUUAAGGAAGGUUAGUGUAAUUUUUAGAAUCUGGAAGAAAGCAAGUGAAAUAGUUAGAAAUCUCAGGGAGGUUUCUAAAAUUGUCCCUUUAGUUUAAGAUGUGUAGGCAAAUAAAUUUUGGACCUAUACCCGUAUAUUUUGGAAGAAUCACAUUAUUGAUCUUCGGCUUUAAAAAAACAUAUCAUGCUUCAUCACGGUUUAUUAUUUAGAUGAAAACAAUCCUCAAAGUUAAAUUAGUUUUUCAAAAAAUUUAGAUGAAGCUCUAUUUGGAUUGGCCAUUUUUUCAAAAAUAAGUUUUUCAAAUACAAUGCUACAAUAAUACACAUAAUUCCAAAAACAUCUCAUCCAUACAAUAUAUCAAAUAUUUCAAAAAAAUUUUACUACUGCUGCAAUAAAUUUUUUUCAAAAACAGCUAAUCCAAACAACCAUAUCGAUAUUAUUAAUUAGUUUAACCUUUGAUCGAAUAUAGAUCCUUGUUCAAUAAGAACAAAAUGAAUUAAAGUUACACCCUCCGUGUCCCAUUCAUUUGGUUAUACUUUCCAUUUUAGGAUGUCCCAUUCAUUUUGUCAUGUUAGAAAAGUCAAAGCAACUUUUACGCUCUCUUUCCAAUAUAACUCUUCUUUUUAAUCAUACAUUCAAAUUUAAUUCAUUUUGUCAUGUUAGAAAAGUCAAAGCAACUUUUACGCUCUCUUUCCAAUAUAACUCUUCUUUUUAAUCAUACAUUCAAAUUUAAAAUUUGAAUUUGAGGGGGUAAAAUUGGAAAGAGAAGCACAAACAUCACAAUCAAACUACUAUUCUUAAAAAGUUGGAUUCCCCAAAUAUAACCAAAUAGAGCUGUUAAUCAAGUCGAGUCUCGUUAGGCAAAUAAGCUUUAAAAUGUGUUCGAACUCGGCUAGUCAAAUGUACAUGUGGCUCAAGCUCGUGCAAAUUAACCACAAUAAAAUCUAUAAUUUUCAAUUUUUAUACUUUUGACUUCUAAAAUGAUAAAUAUGCCAUUUAUUAACGAGAUUUAACGAGCUACUCGGAUAUCAAAGCUCGGCUCGUUAACUAAACAAGCACAUUUCUAGCUUGAGCUCAGCUCGUUUACCGCAACUAACGAGUCGAGCUCGAGCCUUAUCGAGCCGAGCUCUAACGAGCUUUCGAGCUACUCGUGAAGUUUAACAGCUCUAUAACCAAAUAAGUAGGACGGAGGGAGUAUAAAUUAGGCUAAAAAUUUGGUAAAUUUUUUCUCCACUAAGAUUGCAUGUAUUAGCGGGUCCAAUACGUAGUCAGUAUAGAAUAGAUUAAUCUCUUUAAUGCUUCUUUUAAGAUAGAAAGUCACAUCUUCUUAAGAUAUACAACUCAAGCUCGAACUAUUAAUCGUAAAGAUUUUACAAACACUUAAAUGUAAGUCUAAAAGUCAAAAGAAGAUGUUUCUACAAUUAUGGCAAACACCUAAAGAGACCAUUAAAUAAGGUAUAGCUCAUACAGCCAUAUCUACAUAUGCAUGCAUGUGCAUUUUCAUUUAACAAUGAAAGAGAUGAUUUUUGUCCCCAACGAAUUAUCAGGCUGGAAACAUCGAAAUUGGACACCAAGAUGUUGGGCGUUCAAAAUUUAUGUGCUUGUCCACAUCGUAAUUAGGACGUCUGCUGACACAUAAUGUGAUAGUGAUUCCACAUAUAUUUAUAUAACUCUCCGGUUAGAAGGUUACCUCCAAAGAGAUUGUGAAGCUCCAGGAAGUUAUAGCUCCCUUCCUAGCUUCAUAAUUGCUCUGACCAUUAUAGAGUUUGGAAAGCAAAAGAACGCCGAAUUUUUAGUACAUUUAAAAGACAGAUUCCAAAAAAAAAAAAAAUGGGAAUCAAAUCACCAAUGGAUGAUACUAAGUUGAAGGAGAAUGAUACUGGUGUCAAGAAGGAUGAAGUCAAGUACAGAGGAAUCAAAGCUAUGCCUUUCAUCAUAGGUAACAAAUUUAUAUGUGACUUGUACAUAGAAUUUUGUUAACUUUGUCAGCUACGGUAUUAAACAUGUGAGCUCUGCAGGAAAUGAAACGUUCGAGAAGCUGGGAACAGUCGGAACUAUAUCCAAUCUGUUGGUGUAUCUGACGACUGUCUUUAACAUGAGUACUAUUAGUGCAACAAAUCUCAUUAACAUCUUCAAUGGUACCUGCAAUUUUGGAACCUUGAUUGGAGCUUUCUUCUCGGACACUUACUUCGGCCGAUACAACACCAUAGGCUUUGCUUCAGUGGCUUCUGUCUUGGUAAAAUUUCUACCAUUGAUCUUCGUGUUUCCCAACUAGCUAGCAAAGAAAAUUUUCGGUUCUUUAAGAAAUGUUUUGAUUUUAUACCUGAAUGCAAAUAAGAACCUGAUUGAAGAUAAUUUGUUGGAGAACUAGAAUCUGAUCCUUGGUUUUGUUUCCCCUUUUUGAAACACAGGGAAUGCUCAUAUUGACGCUAACUGCAGCGAUUCCUCAGUUGCAUCCCUCUCCUUGCGGAACAGACAGCAGCAAAUGUGUUGGACCAACAGCAGGGCAACUAGCUGUCCUGUUGAGUGGAUUCGGAUUCCUAGUGAUUGGAGCUAGUGGCAUAAGACCAUGUAAUUUGGCCUUUGGUGCAGACCAGUUUAAUCCCAAUACAGAGUCCGGUAGAAGGGGAACCAAUAGUUUCUUCAAUUGGUAUUAUUUCACCUUUACAUUUGCCGUGAUGGUAUCCUUGACAAUCAUUGUCUAUGUGCAAUCCAAUAUCAGUUGGGCUAUCGGAUUGGCAAUCCCUGCAUUCAUGAUGUUCUUAUCCUGCACUUUCUUCUUCGUGGGUACGAGAAUAUAUGUGAUGGUACUGCCACAGGGUAGUCCCUUGACUAGUGUGGUACAAGUAAUUGUUGCUGCAAGCAAAAAAAGGAAAUUGGCUUUGCUAGAUCAGCCACCGGAUUCUCUUUUUGAUUUCAUAUCUCCAAAUUCAAUCAACUCUAAGCUUCCUUACACAGAUCAGUUCGGGUAUCGACUUUAAGACUUUCAAAUUCUGAUCAAUCUUUUAUAUGUAACACUUGAAGUAUAGUUUCAAACUAAAACUAAUUGAGUGGAAAUACUAAUUCAGGUUCCUGAACAAAGCAGCAAUCAUAACCCCUGAAGAUCAUAUCAACGCGGAUGGUUCAGCACACAAUCCAUGGAGGCUUUGCAGCAUCCAGCAGGUGGAAGAAGUGAAAUGCAUAAUCAGAGUGGUUCCCAUAUGGAUUGCAGGAAUUAUAUACUCUAUAGUUCUGAACUUGAUGCAGACUUAUGGGGUUUUCCAGGCCAUCCAAGCUGAUAGACGCCUUGGAAAUACCCGCUUCAAAAUCCCAGCAGCAUCUUACACAAUUUUUCAGAUGUUGAGCCUCACAGCAUGGAUUCCAAUAUAUGAUAGGAUCAUUGUUCCGUAUCUUCGUAAAAUCACCAAGAAAGAAGCCGGUAUAACUGUCCUCCAAAAGAUGGGUGUUGGCAUGGUAAUUGCAGUGGCUACCAUGGUGGUAUCUGCUCUAGUGGAAAACUGGAGAAGAACGGUGGCUCUUACUAAGCCAACCAUAGGAGUCGUAGCUCAAAAAGGCGACAUUUCUUCCUUGAGUGCCUUUUGGUUAACCCCUCAAAUGGCUCUAGCAGGGCUUUCAGAAGCAUUUACCGUCAUUGCUGAAGUUGAAUUUUUCUAUAAGCAGUUCCCCGAGAGCAUGAGAAGUUUUGGAGGGUCAUUCUUGUUUUGUGGAAUUGCAAUGUGUAGUUAUUUGAGCAGCUUCAUGAUAUCAAUAGUCCACAAAGGGACCAGAAAUGCAUCCGGAAUAGACUGGUUGGCUGAAGAUCUCAACAAGGGAAGAUUGGAUUACUUCUAUUACCUGGUUACUGCUUUGGAAGUUCUCAAUUUAGGAUACUUUCUAAUUUGUGCUAAGUGGUAUAAGUACAGAGGAACACAAGGCAAGAGCAAUAAUGGUGCUGUUGCCAUGGAAGAUUUAAGCUCCAGAGCACAUAUGGUAUAAUCCAAUUUCUGCAAUCUGAUUGAUGUGGUCUCAAGAGGCAGGACCAAGAAGCAGCUACCUACUCCUCCCCAUGUUCCCACCCAAACACAACAGUCUAACAAUAAUAAUAAUUUUAAAAAAAAAAACAAGGGUUUAAGAGGGGACAGAAUGGGUAAUGUAGUAAGAAUAGUCUCAUUUUUUUUUUUUGAAAGGGGGGUUGGGAAUCACAAGGGUAGUCAAUUUCUGUAGCUUAAUGUUUUUCAAAUGUUGCCCCUGCUUCUAAGGUAGCAAUCCAUUCACAACUCUCAGCUGGAACAGUCACUUUUGACUGCUCUGAAAUUCUGGUAAAUAGUGAUUCCUGUGGUUUUCUUGAAUUGUCUCCUAUAAAGAUGGAUACACCAUGUCUAAUGAGUCCAUGUAGACAUCAAUCUUACAUUUUAAGUCUUUGGGUGUAGAUUUAAAACUGGUGAAAAUAUUAGGGAUGGGUUCCAUCCAACUUCCCAUUUUUUUGGGGCGCCCGGGGGGGGUGCUCAAUCCAACUUAAAUUUACACUUUUUAGAAGUUUUAAUGCAAACAAUACAAGUCAUCUAUGAAUUUUAUUUAAAGUAUUGAGGCAAAUAUUGAGUCAUCUAUAACUGUUUAUGACUAUAUGUAUAUAUUUUUAAGAAUUGUACCGAUCUUCAUCUCUUUCAAUAUAAAACAAACAAGUUUAGUGUAAGGAAAAAGAAAAAAAAAAAAAACAUAUCGAUCAUAUAUUAUUUUAUCAUAUCGAUCUUUAUCAUAACUUGUCACCAAAAAAAAUUUGUUGGUAGGUUUUGCACUUAAAUAUUAGCCAUGUUGAUGCGAAAAAGUGACUUGACCAAGCACAAGAUAUGCAUAUUUGUUCUUUGUCUAUGAUUGAAUCUAUAAUAAGUCGAUGCUUGUUUCUCUUGUAACUCCAAAUUUUGAUUCAAUAAAGAUCUUACAAGAGUAAUAUCUAAAGAGAUGACCCUUAAAAGUUAAAUCCCAAGAAUUUUGGAAGCAUAAAUAGGAAAUGAAUGAAUAUAGGAACUAGAAUCACUGCUAAUCCUCUUCAGAAAAUUAAAAAAUAAUAAUUAAAAAAAAUGAAUGAAUCUAUGGACUAACCUCCAAUUGUCACAGAUCGACUAUUACUUCUACUAUCGGUCCUGAUUUUUCAUUCAAAAACUUUCAGGGUAGUGCAUGUCUUGAUUGGUCAGGUGCACGGAUUCAUGCAGACCGUGUCACAAUUACACGAUUAUUGAAGGUAGAUCCUGAUGGCCCGAAAAAUAUCUAACCUUCCCAACAAAUCGGCCUGGAACCAAAACGAUUUUCUCCUGCUGGCGUGGUAGGCUAAAAGUUUGUGCGCAAAAUCCAUUCUUUCUACAGCCACGUUUCAGUUUGUGGUUUUUUUUCCCCUUCCCACUCAGCACUCUUCAACUUUUGGCUUUAGUUCUCAAACUUUAAAAUGGGAUAUUUUGGUUUCUAAAAUAUAAUGUCUGCUCUACUUUCAUCUCUAAAAUAUAAAAUAUAUCUCACUUUUUUUCAAAUACCAAUAUGCAUUAUUAUUUCAUUAAUGAUCAGAAAGAAGCUUUACAAAUGAAAUCAGACUCACCAGUAUAACACUAUACUAUACUAGCACUAUACAAGUAUACACACAUUAAACAAGAAACUUAAUUCCUGAUGCAUUCCUGAUCUAAUCCCUAUUUCAAAAUCAGCUUCAAGUUUUUCUAAAAUCUAUCUCACUUUACUUCCUAAAGUAUAAAUUCGAUUCUAUUUUAGUUUUCAACGUAUAAAAUUUGGCUGACUUAAAUAUAAAAUCUCUCUCAUUUCUGUCAAUGAUUUUACUGAAAUAGGGAUUAAAGUCUCUCAUUUUAAAGUUUAAAGAUCAAAAUAGAAAUUUAGGUACAGUUAUAAAAUGUGCAAAGUGGAAUUGCUCAUUAUCUAAUACUACAACUUUGACAUGACAUUACACUUUUUACCAAGCCAUUUUGUUGGUGUCACAAGGGUUUGCACUUGAAGAAGACCUUCUGAAGAUCAUUUGGAUUUUUUAAUUCCAUGUUACAUUGCUUAAUUGAUAACUCGUAUCGAUAUCUUCUAGAUAAUGCUGUCCUUAAAAGAUCUUUUGAAGUGCAUAACAGAAGCUUGUCGUUCUGAACUUUGACUAGGAAAAACAAACAUUAAAAGGUCUACCUAGAAUUCAUGCUGCCUCAGGAACGCCUUUUUGACUAACAAAUAACAUUAUUGUAUCAAGUGACAUUUAAUCUAGAAGAUAGAGUACCAACAAAUAUUAAAGCCAGUGCAUUUGACUUUGUUCUGUGUACCUACUCACAACCAGUGGCGAAGAUCUUUGUACGUAAACCACACGAUAUAUCCUUCAGAUGGGCGAAAGGUGACAGGUAUCGAGUUUGUAUAAUAAUAAAUAUUUGAUUUAAUAAAAUAUAAAUUUUAUAUGCAGUGAUAAUCAAGGUCGAAUUCACAGGAAUUGGAAAAAUUUGUUUCUCCUCGAGUUCAACGUAUGGAAGAUUUUAUAAAAAUAUAAAAAUAAAUAAUUAACUAAAUCAAAACAACACACGAAAAUAAAUAUGAAUAAAUCAACAAUAGAUACGACUCUAGUCAAAGGUGCAACUUUUCAGAUACAGUACAUUCAACUGAUCAAUGAUGCAAAGAUAAUUCAAUUAUUCAUUAAUAGAUUAGUUAUAGUUGUCGUACACGUGAUAAACAACUAACUUUUCCUUACUUUUUCGAUAGUCAAGGUACGACCAUUAACUAUUUCUCUAAUCAAAAAAUAAUCCUAAAUACGACCGUAGGAUUUAAUUUUUCAAUUGCAUUAAGAAUUAGAAAAAUCAAAUUUUAACCAACAAACAUGCUACGAGAGUUUGUUUAACUCAGAUCAUACGUUUCCUUAAUAUGGAACCAAUCACGCUAAUCGCCACUGGUAUUAACUAAUCUAACAAUUACGGUUAAUUUGAUAGUAGUUUAUUAGGUUAAUUCGAAUAUCGAAUUUUUGACAUUCAAAUAACAAAACAAUCAUAAAAAUUUAAACCAAAAAAUGCACGAAUACCAAUGAAUAAAAGAAAUAAAUAAAAAUAAUUUGAUCUCACAGAUGUUUGGAACCGCAUCUUCAAGUUAAUCCUUGACUAGAAAAGAAGAUUUAGCUACCCAUUCUCAAGGAAAAUCCGUAGGACUCCAUUGAUAACAAUUGCAUAUGGUUUUUCCUCUAAAACUAACGAAAAGGCCAGGAGAAGAGCCAAAGCAAGUGACGGCCGUGUGUCGUAUUUCAAACAAUUACACCCGAAAUUGUUGCUGCCCGAACUAUUAAUCAAAUGGUCCGUCCUUUGCUUUUUCUUUUUGUUUCCUAUUCGGUCUCUACUACCAAUAACAUCGCAUGUUUCCUAAAUAGAAAAGGGUAACUACUAAGAUAAUAUUCCAAGUUCCCUAAUCCAAUACUAGAACUAAUAAUGAAAAUUGAAAUCUUCAAAAUUUACCUUCAAAAUUGCCCUAAGUUCAACUCGGACUUGGAAAUCGGCUAUGAAUGCGUCACCAUCAAAGUAACUCUUAGAAUGCUGAAAAAUUGUUCCUUUAAUCAUGUCUCACAUAAUUUCCUAUAAUUUGCACAAUUAACCAAAUAUAAGUAGAAUCUAUCAAUUAAAAUAAUAUUUGGCUAAAAUUAAGAGAAAAAUAAUUAUAAAUUGAAUAACAAUUUUGCACCCUAUUAAUUCUCCUUACACUUAAACCAUGCUUGUCCUUAAGCGUGAGAACAACUAAUCAAGCAAUUGAGUUCAAACAAUGGCUAUUGCUCAAAUAAUCUAUUGCCAAAGUAUAAUUAAAACACAUGUCAAGCAUUAUUGGCUAAUUUUCAAGAAAUAUCUCUCUAGUUAGUUUUUAAAAUUCGGGACUCUUCUAACUGUUGAUUAACUAAUCUAAGAAUAUAAAAUAUUCAACCAACAUUUGUCAGCAUAUGGUUCAACUAUGAAGUAAAAUCUCAACAUUAAAACCCCCGGAUCAGUAGGCUAACAUAAUCAACCACAUACUUGCACAUAUCUUUUUUUUUUCUAUUAGCUCAUCGCUUUUUUUUUUAUAUCCCCACACUUCAACUCUUUUUUUUUUCUUCUUUUUUUUAUUCCCUCCUUUUUUUCAAGGGAAAAGGUUAGUUCUCAGUCAUUCAAAUCUUUUGACACAAACUCCAAUAUCUACCAAAUGAGGGAGGCCGGUUACUCAACUCUUAUUUCUUAAAGACCAUAUAUUCAUGAUUAUCACCAUUAUUUGAUGCGAAGUCAACAUUUUUGGUGAAGACUCUCGGUUGUUGGGCAACGAUAACUAGCGGAGUAUAACCAAACAUUAUUCAGUGUGUAAGUACCAAAAUAAAAUUAAAGACCACACAAGCCCGUUUCAUUACUCUAAUAUGGAGAACUAAUUAGAUUAAUAGUUGAAAUAAUUUACAUGAAAAAUGCUAGACAAAUAUUUACAAUACAUAGAAAAGUUAACCAAAAAGUGUAAAAGUCACAAAAUCUCAAAUAUUCUCCAGAGAAACACCCUUAAAUCUAACCAUUUCAUACUUGACCCAUUAGACUAAAAAAAUCUUGGCAAUGGAAAAUUUUGAAACAUCUAGUCAUUGUUGAUCAGGAAAUCCACAAAGAUACACAAGAUGUGGCAAAAUUUGAAUAAAAAGUCGACAAAGUCAAACAAAAAAAUUCAACAAAAAUGCCUACACUUAUAUUUUUUCAAUAUACUACCAAUAUACUUCUCUCCCCACAUCUAACCUUACAUUGUCCCCAAAGUAAAAAAUAAAGAAUAGAAUACGAAACAAAAGGGAUAAUGAAACUUUCCUAAUAAUUGAGGAGGAUCGUGGACAGCUAUGGGUGGAAAGGACAGCGUGAAGUGAUAGCGAACGGCUAGCAAGGAAUGGAUGGUGUUGGCAGUACUGGAUGAUAAACGGACGAGCAACUUUGGUCGGCGUUUAAGCAACUGGCAGUGGUGGUUGCGAGCUCGAGCAAUGGACGGCAGGAGCACUAGAAUCGGUGGAACCAGCGAACAGGGGUAGCGAUGGAUGGCGGCGGUGGCCUGUGUACGGUGGAAGCAAUCCACAACGAACAAUGAACCAGCAAUGGACGAUGAAAAUGAGGGCGACAGUCAGGCGGCUAUGAAAGAAAUAGGGGAGAAAGAAAGAAAAAUAAGAGGAAGGAAGAAAGAAAGAAAGAAAAGAGAAAAAAAGAAAAAGAAAGAAAGAAAAACAAAUAGAAAAGGAAAAUGAAAAUAAUAUUUCUGUUUUUUUUACCCUUCUCUAGAAUAAGACGUGGGCACAUUUUGUUAGUAGAAACCCUUCUGAUGGUGAAAUUGGUGCAUUACUAGUUACCACGUGCCCUCUAGGCGCGGGCGCGUCAUGUUGUUAAGUCUGUUCCAAAAUCGAAAUAUGAACUCUCCAGACAAGUAAGCCUGGACAUGUCAUGUUGGUCCAAACAGUUCUGAUGGUGGAAUGGAGAAUUAGCACAUUAUCACGUGCCCUCAAGAUGCGGGCGCGUCCUGUUGGGAGGAAGUCUUCUAACUAAGAAAACAUCAAAAAUGAAGAUUAAACACACCAAAUUUGAAAAAUCUAAGAUAAAUAUAAUGAAACUAAUAAUAAAAAUAAACUAAAAAUUGAAUUGGAUUACCUCCCAAUAAGUGCCUUUCUAAUGUGUUUGGCCAGACAUUGUUAUAUUUGUUCAUGGAGGAAAAAAUCUUGUAACUCAUUUCAAUGUUUUAUCCUCUAUAUAAUUCUAAUAACCCUUGUAAAUAGAGUAAUUCUUGAGCACAUGAGUUACGGUUUUAUAUGGACUAGUUGAUGGCGCCAAACAAACAAGUAAUGGCCUUAAUUCUUCACCAACUCCGUCAUCACGAGCACUUACUGAUUCAAAAUAUUUGACCAUAGCAAUUCCUAAUUUAUUUAUAUCAUGAAACUCAAAAUUUUCCGAUAUAACAAAAUCAAUUUCACUAACAGAAAUUACAGAAUAAGAGUUAAGAGAAUGUUGGCUAGGGAAUGGAGGGGAUAUCACCAUAUUUAGAGAUUGUUCACUGGAUUCAUUCAUUUGAGUAAUUUGAUAUUGAAGUCUCAUUUCUUGUACUUCAACUCCCUUUUCAACUGCAUUUUUAGAUCCUUCUUCUCGAGACUUUUGCAGUUCCAUAUCACUUGUCAAGAUAAUUGCACUCUCAUCUUCCUUAAAGUCGAUGAUGGUCUGUAAGAGAAAUUCUUCACAAAUUGAAAAAAUCAAUUUGCUCAUUAUAGAUGCCAAUUCACAUCUUCCAUCCUCCAUCCCGUAAUCAUCAUUUGUGUCUCCUGUCAAAAAUGAUAUAUCAUUUCUUCAAUAGACAUAUCUGAUAUAGAUAAUGGUUGUUGACACAUUCCAUCAUCAGUCCCUCUAUUUCUCAUUUGUGUCUUCUGUUUAAAUCGAUAUGUAUUAGCAGUUAGUAAUUUCAUCAUUUUUUCAAGAGACAUAUCUGACAUGGAUAAUAAUUCUUGAGACUCUUGCUGUUGAUAUUAAUGUUGAAAAUCAAUUGGCUCUGUUGCAUAAUUAAAAUUGGAGUUGUCCUACCAUCCUUGAUCAUACCCAUUUGAAUCAGGGUCAUACCACGUUUGAGAUUGGGGUGAAAAAUCUUCAAAUUUAUUAAUUGGGGUAUUCAGGCAAUCUUGAAAUUCAAAGCACAUAACGCUUGAAUGAUACGUGGCAUAAAAAAUUUCACAAGUUGCAACAGUCAUUUUUUCUAUAAGAAAGUUAAGUGAAUCUAAAUGUUGAUCAUUAAAAAAGACACAAGUUUCACACCUCUCUUAGGAAAAAAAUCCAGUCUAUCAUCAAAAUAUUGAGUGUUAGUAGCCAUAACCUAGUAAAAAAAUAAGAGAAAAAAUAAGGUGAACUCAAAACGAAAGAAAUUAAUCAAACACUAGUCCCCAACAAUAACGCCAAAAAUUAACAGGUGCCAAGCCUGUACAAUAAUAAAUACCUGCUUAAAUAAAAUAUAAAUUUUGUAUAUAGUGAUAAGUAGGGUCAAGUCUACAGGGACUGAAAAAAUUUGUUUCUCCUUGAGUUCAACGUAUGGGGGAUUUUAUAAAAAUAUAAAAUAAAUAAUUAACUAAAUCAAAGCAACGCACAAAAAUAAAUAUGAAUAAAUCAAUAAUAGAUACAACUCUAGCAAAAAAUGUAACUUUUCAUACAUGAUCCAUUCAACUGAUCAUCGAUACAAAGAUAAUUCAAUUGUUCAUUAAUAGAUUAAUUAUAGUUGUCAUACACGCAAUAAACAGCCAAAUUUUUCUUACUUUUUCGAUAGCCAAGGUACGACCAUUAACUAUUUUCCUAAUCAAGAAAUAACUCUAAAUACGACCAUAGGAUUUAAUUUCCCAAUUGCAUUAAGAAUUAGAAAAGUCCAACCCUAACCAACAAACACACUAUGAGGGUUUUUUAAAGGAAAAAUGCAUUUUUCAUCCCUAAUGUUUAAGGUAUUAACCAAUUUCGUCCCUAAAGUUUCAUGCAAAACAUAUUUCAUCCUUGUAAUUUUAUAAUUUUGACUAAUUUCAUUCUUAAAGUUUCACACGAACACAUUUCAUCCUCAUAGUUUAAUAGAUUUGGCUAAUUGAGGACAAUUGAUGGAUUGUCAAGGAUUUUAAAUAGAAUAUCGUCAUUUGAUCAUUGUGAGGACUCGAAAAUUUACUUAUUUUAAAUUUUUAUUACUAGCUUAUUUAAAUAUUUAAUUGUCCGUUUACUCAGAAUAUUUUAUUUCAACCUUUUUAGACCCAAUUACAUGAAACUAUGAUUUACUUAUAUUUUUAAAAUGACUCGUUUCAAAAUUUAAUUUUUGAAGACUCAUUAAGUGAGAAUAGUGAAUAGGCGUUUGGAGACAAUAAACGAUUCAAGGAUACAGUGAGUUUGGAUAGUGAAGACUCAUACAUUAGUCUCAAAAUAGUUAUUUUUAUGUUUAAGUACUCAAGUAUUAGUUAGUAAUACUAUCGUUAUAAGAAUUUCUUGAAAAUUCUACUUUAUCGUGCACAAAUCGGAAGUACGCGUUUUCGUACGCUCGAUUAAUUGAAGGACUUUAGACCUUUAUUUUUAGACUAUUAAGAUUGAAUAAUAAUAGUAUGAAUAGAAGUGCAUUGGAAGUUUAGUGCACAAGUGAAACAAACUCGAGAGAAAUCAAACGCGAACGCGAACUUUUGAGACACUUUUGGCCACACACUUAAGCUUCUCAAGAAAGCUUCAUUUUCAGCAAACACACUCUCUCUCUCUUCACUCAUAGCAGCCGGCCAUCCAAGGGGGGAAGAAGAAACAAAACCCUCUUCAUUUCACCUCUCAUUUCUUACUCAAAUCUUCUCAAAAUUUUCACACACUUUGCAAACCAUUUGGAGAUCAACUCAAGCUAGGAAAGGAGCUUCAUUUGCACGGUUUUCUUGAGUUUCAAAGGACCAAAAAUUUUUGUUUUAGUCAUCUAAGGAGGUAACAAAUGAUCAACCUCUUAAAUCUUGGCUUAUAUAAGUUAUAUUGCACUUAUAAGCUUAUAGAUGCAUGUGGAUAGCUCUAUAUUAUUGGAAAUCUUAUGAGUGGGCUCUAUGAAAUCCCACAAUGGACUUGAUGAGCUGAUUUGAUAAUAUUGGGUGUUAUUUAUGUUGGAUUAGUGCUUAAUCUAGUGGAUAUAAGUUGUAUUGUGGAAGAAAACUCAAAGGGAGUGAAAUGAGAAAAAGGAAUGGUUCUGCCCCUGUUUUUCCGUGCCACUUUUGUGCAAUUUUUGUGGUCCAAUUGACUUGAUUUUAAUGUAAAUGUGUAAUAUAGAUUUUGUAGAAAAUUUUCUCAAAAAAUUACUUGAUUUGGUUGGGUAAAAGUUGAGAUUUCGAAAUUUCACCAAAACUGGAAAACGUGACCAGAGUCUCUCUGGCAGUGAUUUUGUAUUGACCAUAACUUUUUGUUCCAAAUUCAAAAUCGAGUGCCGUUUGUGGCAUUAGAAACUAGACACUUCCAGUUUUCUAACAGUAUAAAAUGCAUCCCCUAAUUCCACCUGAGUGAACUGUACCAAUCGUUUGAAGAUGCCUGUCUUGUUUCACAGAUUUACUGGGGUGCAUGUUAUGAGCUGCAAGUUGAUGCUCGAAUAUGAGUUAGUUGUGGAUAUAAUUUUAAAACGAUUCCUUCUGUGAAAUUGUAGCCUUAUGAAUGUAGUUUUCAACGCCAUCAAACAUGCUCAAUUCCAAAUGAAUUGAAUGCCAUAUGAAUUGAGUGAAUUAUGGCCGAAUGUCAAACCUGCCUCGUUGCUUGAAAACUCUAAAUUUAGGCUGGUCAAUGACUAAUCUUGAUUGGGAGUUGUUAUUUCGAAACUCUUGGUGUUAAUCACCUAUUAAACACAUUUUUUUGAUCUCUCUUAGACAUUGUCUUCAUAAAUGGACCAUGUUUGAAAAGAUUUCAUUGGCCAAAUGAUUCAGAAAAGAAAAACAAAAAUGCAAGGCAGAUUUGCCUUAGGAAAUCGUGGAAUUUUAGCGACUUUGUUACCCAACUUUUCAUGCCAAAUUUUUCAUAAAAAUUGACAGAGGAAUAGCCCUCAUAUGGUAGGGUAAUACUACCAAAUUUGAUGCCCUUAUAGGUCUAUUUCGGUGUUCAACCAAAGUCUUAAUGUUCCCAUUUUAAAUCUAGAAAACCCUUGUUUGGUGAGGAAAUUUCAGUAACUUUGUCCCACUAUAUCUUGGUGCUCAAAACUCCGAUUCUUGUUUCGCUUGUUGUUUUUUAAACUUUGAUUGUAACUCUAAUUGAGUUCCAAAUUUCAGAGGCUAGUUCGCAUUGUGUGAAUUUUUCUGAAUUUUCAAACUUUACCGAAAAUCAACCCAAAUCUGUUUUGGUAUUCCAAAACAGCAUACUGGACCCAAAAUUUGAAUGUCUUCCAUUUAGAAUCAUGGAAAAGUGCCUUCUAAAAACUUUUAGUACUUUGGAAGUAGUUUCCAACAGUACCAAGUUUUCCAAUUUUGAACUUACCAAGUGUGAAUUACGAUUUUUCAAAGAUUGCAUAUCGAAUCUGAAAUUUUCAAAGUUAAAGGAAAUUGAGUUUUUAGAACUCUCCAUUUUUCCUUUGAUACCACUUGACCGUUUUACACUCGAUUUCAAAGAUAAAAAUCAGAUUUCUCUUGUAUUUUAAAACUCCAUUUUUAAGUCUCGAUUUACGAGUAAUUAAGGUUCAUUUUCGUGAUAUCUUCUUAGAUUGUACAUUAGUACAAUCUUCUUUGAUAAUUAGGGAUCUUAAGCGAUAAUGUGUAAUAGUUUAUUAUUAAUUGCUCAGGCACUCAAGAGAACUUUCAAGAGGAUCCCACAGUGGACACCUGAACCCUCAAGUGUACUUUACUUCUUGAGUUACUUGGUGAGUGUCAAGUGCAUGAAUAGUUGAAAUUAUGGGAACGUGAUACAUGUUCAAUUGUUAUUGUCGAUUGAAAAUUUUGAAAAUGGAGUCAAGUGUGUACUUUACUGCACUCAUUUUCAUUUGAAAUGAAUAACUUAUGAAUGACUUACUUGAAAUGAAAUGAAUGAUUGAAUGUAUUGAUUGCUUGAAUGACAUGAAAUAGUAUGCUAUGGCUGCGUACGUCGUGGAGUGAAUCUUCUCGACUCACAAAUGUUAUAUGGGGAACGCCCAAACUCAUAAGCCGACCUUGAGACUCGAGCCGAUAUGGGUUUAGUCGGAAACCUCAGUGAGCCAUGAGAAUAACAUGAUAAACUUGAUCUAUUGGAGAGAUCUGGCAAAACAAGUGGAACUUAGCUCCGGAGAGUUACUAUAUCCUUAAAUUGUUUCUAUUUAUAUUUCACUUGAAUCGUUAGUUACUCGAUUAUUAUCGUUUUUCUUGUGAAUUGAAAUUGUUAUUUGGACAACAUACUUGCAUGUGUGUUUCUUGGCCUCACGAGUAAUUGCUCACCCCAUAGAUUUGUUUUCCUUAACAGAAAUGGAUGUGAAGUGAGACUCGAAGAAACCUUUCUGUUGUACUUUUGUGUUAAGGUUCCAAAUAUAAUUGACUAGACAUUGUGGCUAUUGUAUAUUUUGGGAAUUGAUGUAUUUUUUGGGAACCAAAGUAAGAAUUGGAUGAUUGAUAUAUUUUUGGAACUAGUGGUGUAAGUUUUAAUGUUAUUUAUGGAAGCGACUUAUCUUUCUUACUUUGUCUUGUCGUGAUAGCUAGUAUUGUAAUAAGCUUGAACAGGAGUUUUACCGAGUCCUGGCGAGAGUUGGGCAGGCAUCCCGUGAAUACCCUUUGGUUCGCCUUAGGGAGAAGUGGGGGCAUCACAAUCACAGCAUGCCCAUUAGUAAAAAAAAAACACUAGAUUAACCAAAAGGUUAAAAAUCUUUCCUUAAUUCACUUUCUCAUUUUAGAACUAAAAAAAAAACCUAAGAAAUUUUUAGCCACCAUUAUUUUCAUCUUAACAAAUCGAACAAGAAAAUCAAAACACAAAGAAGUCGUGGAAAACAAACAGCCUCACUAUAGCCAAUUGGAAAAAAAUGUCGAACAACCCCAUUACAACUAAUUGGAGAAAAAUAUUAAUGUGAAAGAAAAAAUUGUUUGGAUUGUCAUUUAUUUGCAAAACUUUGUUUUGUUGCUGUGUAUUUUACACCAACAGUUGCAUCAUGUACAUGUUUUUCAAUCAUCUAUUAAUCUUUCAAUCUAUUUGUUUUAUCUCAAACACAUCAUAUCAUAAUUUUAAAAAACAGAGAGAUAGUCUCUUAUCCAAAACACUUGUUAUUUUUAUAACUUAAUCAAUAACUGAAUUAAGUAUUAAUAAUACAAUUACUAAUAAGACAUGUGAUGAUAUUAUGUACAAAUUGGUUAACAAUCAUUUAAUUGUCCUCAAUUGGUAGAAAUUAUGAAACUAUGAGGAUGAAAUGUAUUCUACAAAAACUUUGGGGACAAAAUUGAUCAAAAUUAUAAAACUAUAAAGAUGAAAUAUGUUUGGAAUGAAACUUCAGGGAUGAAAUUGGUUAACGCCUUAAACAUUAGGGAUGAAAAGUGCAUUUUUUCUAUUUUUUAAAAUUAGAUAAUACGUUUCCCUAACAUAGGACCAAUCCCACUAGUCGCCACUGGCAUUAACCAAUCAAAUAAUUACGGAUUUCACCGGUUAAUUUGGUAGUAGAUUAUUAGGUUAAUUCGGAUAUCAGACCAUUGAUAUUCAAAUAACAAAACAAUCAUAAGAAAUUAAAUCAGAAAAUGCACGAAUACCAAUCAAUAAAAGAAAUAAAUAAAAAUAAUUCGAUCUCAUAGAUGUUUGGAACUGUGUCUUCAAGUUAACUCUUGACUAGAAAAGAAGAUUUAGCUAUGCAUCCUCAAGGGAAAUCCGCAAGACUCUAUUGACAACAAUUGGGUAUAAUUUUUCCUCUAAAACUAAUGAAAAGGCUAGGAGAAGAGCCAAAGCAAGUGAUGGCUGUGUGUUGUACUUCAAAGAGUCACACCCGAAAUUGUAGCUGGCAGAACUAUUAAUCAAACGGUCUGUCUUUUGCUUUUUCUUUUUGUUUCCUAUUUGAUCUCUACGAGCAAUAACACCGCAUGUUUCCUAAAUAGAAAAAGGUAACUACUAAGAUAAUAUUCCAAGUUCCCUAAUCCACUACUAGAACUAAUAAUGAAAAUUAAAGUCUUUAAAAUCUUCCUUCAAAAAUUGCCCUGAGUUCGACUCGGACUUGGAAAUCGGCCCCGAAUGCAUCACCAUUAAAGUAACUCUUAGAAUGCUGAAAAAUUGCUUCUUUUCAUCACGUCUAACAUAAUUCCCUACACUUAAUACAAUUAACCAAAUAUAAGUAGAUCUAUCAAUAAAAAUAAUAUUUGGCUAAAAUUAAGAGAAAAAUAAUUAUAAAUUGAAUAACAAUUUUGCACCCUAUCAGAAGGAGAAUGUGUCACAUAACUCAAGCAUAAUGUAUCAUAGUGAUUUGAUUACUAUUUUUGAGAGAUUUUAUAGAAAAAAUGUAAUGUAAUGACUUGAUAUAUGUUAAAUAAAAGCGCAAUUCAAAAAUGUAUUUAUAAAAAAAAAGUAAAAAAUUUUUGAAAAAAAUGGCAAUUCAAACAAAGUUGCUAGGGAUAUUUUCUAGGGCUAAUUUCAGAAACCUUCUCUGAGAUUUUUGACAAUUUCACUCACCUCCCUUCAGUUUUGAAUAAUUACACUAACCUCCCUUCAUGCAGUAAAAUGACUGUAAUAUCCUUCACUUAUAAAUAAUCCCUACAAAAAAAUCCUAAAACUACAAUUAAUCAUUUAUUCUAAUGCAAUGGCUGCCACACAUAACAAACUUUUAAACUCUCUCUCUAAAUCUCUCUCCUAUCUUCUCUUUCUUGCAUCUCGUAAUCUACUCUUUUUCAUAACCACCAUUUACACAACCAUCUAAAUAGAUACUUUCUCUUUUUUAUUUUCCUUUUUUUUGUAAGUAUUUUUGAAUUGAAAUUGCUAAACAAAAGUUACCAAAAUAGAUUUGUUGUCAAACUAAAUGAAAAUGAAAAGGAUGGUGGUGAUACAGAGUGCAGACAAGAAAAUAAAAGUGAUGGCUAAAAAAGGAACAUGGAUUGAGGAAGGUUACGCUUAUGCUAAUUGCGCAAAAAGAAUUUUAGGAUAUAAAAAUUGCAAUGAGAUUUGUCUAAAGGCAUGGAACGUGAUCUCCAGUGUUGCUUUUCAUUACUCUGUGUUGGUAUUUUUCAUGGGUUAGAUUAUUUUAGCAUCAACAAGAUUGUAACCAUUUGGAUUGAGUUUGAAUAGUAACAUUGGUCAAUUCAAAUGCUGAAUUUAGGCAAAAAAAAAUUUAAGCUAAAAAUUAGGUUGAGUGCAAACUUCAAGUGCCAUAGUUGAUUUACAUAGGAAGUUUUGAGGUGGCAAAGGUGGGCUGUCAAAAUUGUGAGAAUAGAGGGAUUAAAUUUUCUUUUUUUUUUUUAUGAUCCGAAACAUGUCUUGACUUGAUCCACUUUGGACCCACUCGAGCCAUUUUGGACCCGAGCCCACACACUAAAUCGAGGAGAUAUACCGCGGCCCCACAUGACGCACCCGAAGUAAGUCACGAGGGUUCAAAUCCAGGAUAAGAUUUGAACCCAAAACCAAGCGAGUCCUAAGAGUUUGCUUACCACUAAACUACCCCCAUGGGGGCUAGAAGGAAUUAAGUUUAGGUGAUUUAUUGAAUUCAUUAGAGUGGUAGUUAUGCCGUUUGCAAUAGUUGCCACAGGGAAGAAAUUCAUGAGUCAGUUUUUCUCCCCUUCUAACUAACAAAGGCGUAUGUUAGGGUUUUUUAGGACAAAUCUAACAUAUUGGGUCUAUAUUGUUAUUGAAAUCCUAGUGAUAGAGGAGGUAGAUGUAAUUUUUUAAACUAGAGGGGAGCUACCUACAAUAAUAAAAAAUCUCAGAGGAGGUUUCUGAAAUUAUCCCUAUUUUCUAUUCAACCAAACGUUUGUGCAUUUACCUAUAAGUCUCUAAAGUGGAUGAAAUUUCUCCUCGCAAGCCAAAGUUAUUGAGCUACAUGGAGAAACUACCCAACGUGCAAUCAAAGUAGAUCCUCAAAGUAUGCAGACAAGACAAGAUGCUCAGGCAACUAGCAAAGGAUCGAGCCCAAAGGAGAAAAGACCUUGGAUCCUUUUGUGAACAAUUUGGGUUACCCAAUUGUUACAAAAAACCUCACAAACGGCCCAAGCUUACAAAACAUCUUGAAAAAUCACCCAUAUACAAAAAGAAAUAUCAACCCAAACAACCUUUACCCAUACAGUUUUCUCAAACCCCAAACUCUUCUCCAGUUUGCAACAAAUGUCAUAAACCCGGGCAUAUAGCUCGUUAUUGUAAACUCAACCAAAGGAUUAGUACCUUGGAUUUAGAUGACCAGGUCAAAAUCCAAAUUUCAAACCUUCUAAUCGAUUCAGAAACUGAUUCUGAAAGAGAAGAAGAAGAUUAUCUCAACCAUUUGGAGGAUGAUAUUUCAACAUCUUCCUCCUCACAACCCAUCAGUGAUAAAGAAGAAGGAGGUCACACCAUCAAUGUUUUGACAAAAGAUCAAAACCUUCUUCUUGACAUCAUUGAAGAUACUCCUGAAAUAGAGAAAAGACAACUCUAUUUAGACAAAUUCAAAGAAUCCUUGAACCAAGCCACAAAUUCUUCAAAUCCUUUAGCUAGAGACCAUAGAAUUCUCAAAACCUACAAUCUUACAGAAAUUCUUGAUAGGUUUCCCUCCAAACCUGUUAAACCUUUAACUCUUUAACACCUCCAAACAGAGAUUGAGCUAAUUAAGGAAGAAAUUAGGUCAAUCAAAGCCAAACAAGACCUUAACAGCCUUGUUCUUCAAAACCAAACCCCAAGGGAACCUAUCAACCAAGAGGAUUCUAAGUUCCUAGAACAACUAUCUAAGAAACCAAAGAAAGACAAGGAUUAUUUGGUCCAGAUUCGAUUGCUAAUUAGCAAUAAUUAUGUGAUCGAAACUGAAGCUUUAUUUGAUACUGGAGCCGACCAAAAUUGUAUUCUUGAAAGCCUUAUUCCACCUCAAUUCUUUGAACAAAACAAUUAAAUUCUUAGAGGAGCUAAUGGAUCUAAACUUGAAAUUAAUUUCAAGUUAACUAAUGUCCAAAUCCAGUUUUCCUCCCUAUCCAUUCAAAAUACCUUUUUUUUAGCCAAAAAAUUAUCCAAUAAUGUUAUUCUUGGAAUACUCUUCAUUCGUAAACUUAUGUCUUACCUUACUACAAACAAGGGCAUAAUACCCCAACUUCUUGAUCCUAAUGCCCUCCUAUCUUUUUCUAAAAAACUAACAGAUUUUGUUUUGCAGGAAAAAUGACAAACUCAGCACCAGUCAACGAAUGGACACCUAGUUACCUUACUAAUAAUUCUAUUGCAAAAGAAUAUUAUUUCUACAAACAACAAUGCAGGGAAGACAGGAUAAGAUUCUACAAUGUUGUAUUCUACAACAUUGAAACUGGACAAAGCAUUCCUCCAUAUCUCCGAUACCAACAUGACAACAUUGUGGCGAAACCAACAAACAAUACAGUUCGCAGCUUCAAGGAUCAAAGCUUCAUGAGGCAAAGAAAAAUUCAGAGACUUACUCUUCACAAACAUUAGAUCAAACAUCAAGGAGGAAUACAAGCUCCUGAGAUUGACAAAAUGAUUCAGGAAACAAAACAAGAGAUAUCCACAACAAUCUGCUAAGAAUACAAACAUACAAGUUGGCUCAAACGGAACAAAAUUCAGAGAAAAAAAAUCAUUUUACUGUAGCACCGGAAGCACUAUAGCAAUCGGCAAGUUACUGUACAAACACGGCAACAAAAGACAAACGUUACACUGUAGCGUACUGUAGCGACACUGUAGCAAAUCACUGUAGCGGGUACUGUAGCACUACGGAAAGUUUUGCUAUAAAUACCCCUCAAACCCAACACCUUUCACAUACCAUUUCUUCAAGACAACUUCUCUCUCUAGUUUGAAGAAACUCUCCUCCCUCUCUCUACAAACAAGUUCUUAGUUUUUAUAUUUUAGUUUUUAGGAUCAAACAAAGGGGCUUGCACAAGCUUCAUAUCCUUGUAAGUUCUAGAUGGGUAGAGGGUUUAACCCCUUAAACCAGGAACUUAAAGAAUUAAGAGGAGGAAAGCAUAAAAGUUAGGAAGUGGGUCGCAGUCGGACUGCCACUUAGUUAGUAUAGGCGUUUGAACCAGUCAUGUAUGAAUAGAAUGUAAAUAAAAUGUAAGAACAAGUUAGGAUGUUUAAUUGGGAACCAUUGGCUCCUCGGAGGCUUUCUUUUGUUUUCUCAAAAAACUUUGUCGGGAUAAGACCUUCUUGGAUACAACUGAGAUUAGCUCCUGUGUCAAAUAAAGCUUCUGUUUCUGCAAUAUAAUUAUCAUUGAUAACUAGUUUUAUAAGAACAAAAUGUUUCUUGUAGAAUAUUAUGUUUGACUGAGAAGGUUUAUUAAUGAUUUCCUCUUCAGUGGCUGUUUUUUCAAUUGUUUUAAUUUCCUUAUUAAGAAUAGCAAUUUCUGUUUGAAGAUCUUUAACAGUGAUGGGUUUGGUACUAGGUUGAUCUUUAGUUAAGACAUUUAUUGUGGAAUAUCCUAUGUCUAAAGAAUUUCCUAUGUCUUUUCUAAUAUCAAGACUAGUAGUAUUAUUUUGUAAUAAUUGACUAGAAAUCAAAAGUUUUGGAGGUUUAAUAAACUCUUGGUUUGGUAAAUCUAUUGGGUUUAAUAGAUCCACAUGAGAAUCUGGUAGAUCUAUAUCUGUUGGAUUUAGAUGAAUAGAUUUUGAUGCAUCAGUGGAUUCUGAGUAUUUAUGAGAGGAUGUAUGGGUUGUUUGAGGCAGAUCUAUGGAUAGAUCUUCUGAUUUUGGCUUAGUUUGGACCUGAUCUAUGAGAUCUGGUGUAGGAACUUGUGUUUUUAUAGUGUUUGACAUAGAGGAUGCAGGUUUUGAUAUGGUUGUUUGGACUGGACUUGUGAGUUCUGGUGAGGAUGACUCCUGAGAUGUUUGGGACUCAUACCAAUCAAAGAAAUGAAUAUUUUAUUUUGUUUUUGUCAAAAAGUCAUAAAAGUUUUCUUGAAUUUUCUUUCAGGCUUCUCCCUGGUAUUUAUCAAAAAAUUGUUUUCUUUUAAAAUGAUUGUGGUUUGCAAAGAAUUCAAAUCUAAUGUUUUGUCCAUUAAUCUGGAAUUCAGAAGGUUUGUUUUCUAGUUUUCUUUGUAUAAGAAUCGAUUGCUCAAUUUGAGCAAUUCUAGUUUGAAGAUCAUUUAAAGGCUUGUUGUUUGAAGAAGAACUAGAAUUUACGAAAUAUGCUUUAACUGGAGAAGUCAGACCCUCGCUGUCUAGCUGCAUGGGAACUCUCUCUUUAGAGUGCAAAGGGCCGGACCGGACAGACAGACCAAGAGAAGACAUAAGAUCUUGGAGCUCUUUAAGGACAGCCAUACUGAGAGCUGCCCCCCUUAACAAUCCCCCAGGCGGUAGAGCACAGAAUCCUUCGGGAUCCAUGGAGGAUAAACUAUUUUUCUUAAUCAGAUUAUAAAGGAUAGUGUGAAACCUACAAGAAAAAAUCUAAUCUUUUGAGAAGAAUUAACUAUACAUGACGACCAUAUUUCCAUCAUAAUAAAGAUAGUAAAAUAAAUCUACAAGAAUAGAUCUAAAUCUUUUGAGAAAGAUUAACUAUGCAUGACGACCAUAUUUCCAAACAAAAUCAUAAGAUUGAUAGUAGUAACCCAUUUUCCCUGGAUCUGAUCUUGUGACACUUCCCCGUCCUAGAGCAUCACACCCUAAGAACUUCAACGCCCCUACAGAGCCAAAUCCCUCAUGGUCUUACCUUGACCGGACGUUGGCACUUACUGGAUCCAUGUCAUUCAAUCAGAUCUAAAGUCAUGAAAUCAAAACUAUCAAAAUUAUAAUAAACUUGAAUACAUUAGAUGGUAAUCACGAAAUUAACCAAUCUCAUCUAAUAAGAUCUAAACUUGUAGAUCUAUACUAUUAGUAGUAUAAAUAAAGAAAGAUGGUAAUCACGAAAUUAACAAAUCUCAUUAGGAAGAUAUAAUCUUGUAGAUCUACACUAACAACAUCAUAAUAAGUAAAGAAAGAUAGCCAUCACCCCACUUCCCCCUCUGGCUCUGAUACCAGACGGGUAGAGGGUUUAGCCCCUUAAACCAGGAACUUAAAGAAUUAAGAGGAGGAAAGCAUAAAAGUUAGGAAGUGGGUCGCAAUCGGACUGCCACUUAGUUAGUAUAGGCGGUUGAACCAGCCAUGUAUGAACAGAAUGUAAAUAAAAUGUAAGAACAAGUUAGGAUGUUUAAUUGGGAACCAUUGGCUCCUCGGAGGCUUUCUUUUGUUUUCUCAAAAAACCUUGUCGGGAUAAGACCUUCUUGGAUACAACUGAGAUUAGCUCUUGUGUCAAAUAAAACUUCUGUUUCUGCAAUAUAAUUAUAGAUGCGGUAGUAACUUUAAUAUUCACUAUUGCAAAAACAUUCGUUGGUGAUACAGGAAUAUUUAGGGAAAAAAAAUAUAUAUAUAUUGCAUUCAAGUCACAAUUUAAAUUUUACAAAGGAAAAGGAAAAUUAGAAAGAAAGGUUUAAGAGUUGGAUUAGGGAUACUUUAUGAUUACUUGACUCCCCAUGAACUAGAGUUAGGCCAAUGGAAAUUUCAACCAGUUUUGACUGGCUUCUUGAAUAUUCGUCAACACCUAUUUAUUAAUUAGGUUAAAAAACCCAAUAAAUAUUCGUUUAGUAAACCAGAAUCAGGAAAAGAAGAUAAAUUGAAAAAACACAUACAAAAAGCAAAAUUAAUGGAAACCAAGCAAACUAAAAGUGUUAGGCCACCUGUUUGAUAAUUUAAUUUAACACUUAAAUUUAAUAAAUUCAAAUCUUGAUAUAUUUAAAUGUAUUUGAUAACAAAAAAUAGAAAAUCUAGAUUAAUUGAGUGGCAGUGAAGUUUUUAGGCAAAUCUUGCUCCAAAAAAAAAAACAAAGUAAUAAGUUAUUCACUUAUAAUUUAAUGUAAUAUAUACUCAAAUGUAUUAAAUUUAAUAUUUAACAAUUUAGUAACUUAACAGAUUCAUAUUUUAAACUUUAGAUUUUAAAUUUUAUUUUUCAAACUUCAGUUUUAUCAAUUGUAAUUGUACAGCUUGAACAACUUAAGACCCAAUGUUGUACGGAUUGUAAUGGAAAGUGCACUUGCAUUUAUGUAAAGUAACUCAUAUGACGGUUACGUGAAAUUUAGAAGACAUUUGACAGUAUGUGCCUCUCGAUUUGAUCUGCACUUAACAGCGAUUGCAAAGACCUCGAUUGCAUAUUAACUUAAUGUGUAAUAGAUUAUCACCAAUUAUCACUUUGUCAGCUACCAUUAAUCAUAGUGGAAUUCUCCACUCACUCUCAGAUUCAGAGUUCGAAUUCUGAAUCUAAUAAUUCGAGAGUAGGAAAGGUUUAAGGAGGGAAUGAAAGGUUAAAACAAAAAACUGUAAUGAAAUUGUCGUUGUUUAAAAGAUAUAUGUAUCCCUCUAUGUUAACUAAACAUAAUAGUUAUUUAUUCAAGAAAUACCUUUGAUGCAUAAUGCGACGACGUAUGAUAAACUUUUCAUUCCAAAUUGAACACAUUAAAUUAUUGAAUUAGUUUUCUUUACACUGACAGUAUAUACAUUAUCAUCAUUAGAUGUAUCACAAAAAGUUUGGAUUAGUUUUCUUGCUAAUUAUCUUUUUUUGUUUAAUGUCCUUAAUCCAGUUUGUUUUCGACUAGUUUUUUUUUUCAUUUUUUUUCAUUUGUAAGGGAAACAUUUUGAACCCAGAUUCUCUUAUUUACAAUUCUUCCUUUUUUACUACCGAACAACCCUCUCCCAACUGGUUGAUUACUUCUAGGUUUACAAACAUGACUUGAGACUAAUGUCCUAUUUGAUAACCCAAUUCAGAACUUAAAUUUAAUAGAUUCAAAUCUUAAUAUGUUCAGAUACGUUUAAUAACUAAAAAUUGAACAUUUGAAUUAAUUAAAUGGCACUGAAUUUUUUAUAUAAAACUUGCUCCAAAAAAUAAGUGAUAAAUUAUUCACUUAUCACUAAAUGUGAUAUACACUCAAAUGUAUUAAAUUUAACACUUAAUAAUUGAAUAACUUAAUAUAUUCAAAUUUCAAAUUUGAAUUUUAUCAAGCAAACCCUCAGCCCCAACAACUUAAUGGCAAAAACAAAAGAGAACUCCACAAUAUUUUCAAACCUUCUAUAUAGUAAAUCGAGUAUCGGAAAGUUUGAUUUAUAAUUCAGCCCUGACGCUGAUACAGGCCACACCAAAGUUUGAUUGUAUUGAAAAGUGCUUUUACUCCCUCCGUCCCAAAAUUUGGGACGUUUUUCGGGAAUAGCACUUUUUAUGCACAGUAAAAUGGUGGACUGUACUUUUCAUAUUCUUCCAGUUUUACCCCUUGUCUAUCACACGAAAAUAGCCAGCCAAAAGCAAAAAGUCACAAGAAUGGUGAGAGUGUGCAUGUGUUGUGGUGGGCCAUAUGUAAUUGUUUAUUAUUAGUUGAUGGAAUCUUGUCAUUAUUACUAAGGGUAUAAAAGGAAAGUAGUAGUGAAAGUUGUUUGACUUUUGCCAUGAGACUCUUAUUUUGGGACAACAAAAAAGUGAAAACAUGACAUUAACAAUGGGACGGAGGGAGUAUAUGGUAUAAGAAUAUAUAUAUAUAUAUAUAUUCAUUUUUGGCACUUAGCUGGCAGUUCUGAGCACCUUUAUUAUCCUUUGAAGUCGUGAGUACUUUUACAGCAUCUUCCGCAACACUUUCACAACUUUUCACACAGCAUUCGAAUGUAUUCCACCUACUUCAAUUAAUUACUUAAGCGACAGAUGCACACAAAUUAAGAAUAAUGAAAAAGUUAACGAAUAUAAUGAGCUGGCUACGUAACAAACAUAAUUGCACCUAGUUUAAUAUUUGUGUGCUGCCAUAACAAAAAUUUUUUUUUUUCGUUUGUCACCCGAAAUCCUUACUUUAAUUUUAAAAUGUUAGGAUUGGUUUUGAGCAAACGAUACUACUAUUAGAUUAAUUAUCUUCCUGCCACAGCGAAUUUUAUUUAAAUGCUAAAAUUACUCUCAGUCAAUCAACUCUAUAUAUAUAUUGAUUUUCCUAGAUGUUUUAGUGCAGGAGAUGAAAUACCCGUGAAAUUAAAAUUUUAUGUAGAGAGUACCAAAAGCUUCUAGGAAAAUACGUAGUGCAGAACUGAAAACUGAAAAGUUGGUGAAAAAAAUAUGCUUCUUAAGGGGUAGGACUGUCAAUUACUCCCUGUCGGGCCGGUCUCAGCCCGCUUGACGAAAAGUUAGGCUGAUAACGGGCUGGACAUAGCUGGGGCCCAUCCGACGUAGUUGUCAAUUGAGUUUGACCCUUAGUAGGUUUUACUCAGACAAAAGCUCAGCUUGAACAAUUUUACACAUAAUAUACUUUAUCGAUAAUAUAUUAUAUACUUUAUAGAUAAUAUAUUAUAUAAUAGAAAAUAUAUUUAAUUAUAUUUUAUAAUAUACUUUAUAAAUCAUAUAUUAUAUAAUUGUGCGUGCUUUAUAAGUAUAUACUUUAUAAAUCAUAUAUAAUUAUCUAAUAACAUAGAUUGUAUAUUAUAUAAUUAUGGAUUACUUGUGAGUUUGGAUCAAACCCAAACUAGGCUCCAAGUUUUAAUAUUUUGUGAGUCGAGUAAGAGUCUAACAAAUUGAGCUUCUACAUUUUUGUGAAUCAAACUUAGGCUUGUCAAAGUCCAGCUUAGAAUGCCUAAUUAACAACCCUACUUAGAGGGUCACGAGCCUCAAUCUCCAGAACAAAUCGUGGCGCAACUGGAUUAUGAUGUAUCAGAUGCUUGUCAUUUCGCAUAAAAAGUCCCCAUGGCGUUGGAUGUGGAUAACAAUAAGGUUAAGUGCAAAUUUGUGGCAUUACAAAAACCUGCUACAUGAUUGGUUUUCUUUGUGUCUUUUUUAUAAUAAAAUCUGUAAAAAUAUGCAGAUUAUAAUUAUUUUACUUGACUUUCUGUAUUGCAUGUAGGGUUGACACCACGGGCAGAGUAAUGGGGCGGGGGAGUGGUGGGGUGGAGUGAUUUUUCUCCCCCCUCCCCCAAUUUUAAAUGGGGCAGGGAUAGGGGACGAUACCCCCGUCUCAUCCCUGUCCUGUCCCCUGCUUAAACAUAUCAAUACAAAUAAAUAUAAUAUAAUACAUAAUCUAAUAAUAGUAAACCUAAAAUAUUAAUUAGUUGUGUACGUGCCUAUUACUUAGGAUGUUGGUUAUCUCUAUUUUUUGUUUUAUUUUGUUCUAUGUUAUAUUAGAAUGAAGGUUUGACAUUUUUUUUUCAGGAUGUUUCUUGAUUUUUUUAAAAAUAACCGUCAUUGUAAAGAAAGAAUCAGAUUGUGAAAUAGAGGUGUUUAGACAAUGACUUAGAAACUCCAAAUUCAUAGUUCAAAUUUGGCAUAGGCAUAUUGUGGCCUGCAUCCACCCUGGGUUAACUAAUCCGGUAGCAAGCGCCUCUUCAGGCUAUGCUUGCCAGGUUUCGAGUUUUGUCUGGAGCUACGGUAUUCGAGAGGAUAGGAUCUUCCCUCUCGGGCCACAGGAGAAUUAGUCGGGCCGAAGGCGCGAAUACCCCCUGUGUCAAAAAAAAAAUAUUGUGGCCUGCAUGAGCAUUCCCAAGGAUGAUUUAUACAAUCUAAUUAAGCUUUCUAAUUUUCUUGUGCUACAUAUUUAUUGUCCAUUUUUUCCUUUUCCGACUUUUUAGCUCUCUUUUCUAUUUUGUUCAUCGAAUUUAGCCUUGAGCUAUUGGAGAGGGGUUUGGGAGUUAGGAUAUGUUUAACUCUUUCAAGGUGGAAUAAGUUCAUCUCAAUUUAGAAAAAUAAAAUUAGAUCAAAUUGCCACUUGCUGACACCCAUUGCGGGAGUGGGGCGAGGAAUAGAGCGGAGGCAGGGGUAGAGGCUGGGGAGAGUUUUUUGGCAAUAGGGUGCCUCCCUCCACUUGGGAUUCUCGGUGACAUGUUUUCUAUGCCAAUUCAAUGCCACCUAUAAUAUUGUGACAAGUGUCCUGUUAUUAUUUACACUUGUGUUAAACCAAACCAAGUUGAAUUAUUAAAAAAUUAAAGUGUAAAUAAUAAUGGGACACUUGGCGCAAUACUAUAGGUGGCAUUGGAUUGGCAUAGAAAAACAUAUCACCGAGGAUUCCAAGUGCCCUGCUAGUCCACUUAAGAUCCUCGGUGACAUGUUUUCUAUACCAACCCAAUGCCACAAAUAGUGUUGCGUCAAGUGUCAUGUUACUAUUUAAACUUAUAUUAAACCAAGCCAAGUUAAAUUAUUAGAAAAUUAAAGUGUAAAUAAUAACAAGACACUUGGCACAACACUAUUUGUGGCAUUGGGUUGGCAUAGAAAACAUGUCACCGAAAAUCUCAAGUGCUAAUACAGUCCAUUAAUUUGAGAAUUGUGGAAGACAGGAGUGAACUGUCAUGUCAAACCACCCUACAUUAUUCUGUGUCUCAAUCUCUUCAAAUUUUUCUUAUAUGAGCAAAAUAUUCGCUGUUUUAUUAGCCAAUGUUCACUAUGUUAACAUAUUGACUGGUCGAUUUCAAGCAAGAAUUCCCUAGAAGGCUCUAAUUUGCACAAAGAUGCCCAUAUUGCCGACUUUUUACGCCCUAUAUUUUGAGACAAGUACUAAAAAGAUGAUGUUAGACUUCCUUGGUUACUUCUUUGGCUGAAGAUUGCUUUUGUAUCAAAAAAAAAAAAAGAUUGCUUUAUAUUGCAUCAAAGAAAUUUCAUAUAAACUUCAAAGAUGAUGUGGUUAGACUUGUCAUUGCAUAUGUUAUUCUUGCUUUAUCAAUUGGAUUCUGCAACAAGUACGACGAACUGUCUUUAGUUUGUGUAAGGAUGAAGACAAAGGAGAGAGCACACACCAUUUAUGGCUGGGAAUUCCGAGUGUUUUUUACCAUUACAUGCCAAUGACAAGAGGACAGAAUAGUUCCUUCAAAUUCAAGAGUUCAUCUUCUAUCAGAUAAAAAGUGAAGAAAUUUGUAUAUCGCACAUAGUGCCAUAAGCAAAAGAUACGCCUUUUGUGAUGCACAAGGAAUUUGAUCCCACCUCAAUGAUGUCUGCCCACGUUCUUGAAAAAGUUGCCUUCCCCUUUUUAUUGUAGCUUGUAGAAUUUCCUAUAUAAAUCCUAAAACCAUGCAAGUUAGUUCAGUGAUCAAAGGGAAAAUUUUGACAGACGGACAAAAAUUUUGUCUGGAAAGUGGCAAUGGAGAAGACUGAGAACCAGGCUACUAGUAAUGGACCCAACUAUAGAGGAAUCAAGGCUAUGCCUUUUGUCAUAGGUAUGUUUCUACACACACAUGCUGAUACAAAAGGUUAUGUUUCUUUCAUUAAGUAUUCUUCAUGAUAAACAUAUAGUUUCUGUAAAAUGAUAAUCAUCUCAUCCCAGUCAUUCUUGAAUUUCUGUAAAUGUUACGAGCUUUAAGCAGAAAAACAACUAGUUCCCAACAGAAAACGCUUUUUCUGACAACUGAAUGCUGAAAGAACAAGCAGUCAGCCACAGACCGUGAAUACGACCAAUUUGUUGCAUACUGAAUAAUCACAAAUGUUCAGGUGGCACAGAGUACGUUGUUGUCUGGACUUAGAGUAAAAUUAUGGGACAAACAGAAGAUCAUAUUCUAGAAAACAGAGGAGGCUUUCAAAUGGAGGGCUAGCCACCAGAGUGCCUCCAAUAUUUACUGGCUAUAAGAAAUAGGAAGGCUGUUAAUCAGCGUUUUUGCCUCAGUCAAAGACUGCAACUCUUUCCAUAAGGGCCUGAAAAGGAGUCAUGCUUCUUAUUCAGGAAUAACAUUGUUGUAAUGAAAAUUUUGCAGGGAACGAAACCUUUGAGAAACUGGGAACAAUCGGUACCUCAUCAAACCUCUUGGUUUACCUGACAAGUGUUUUCAAUCUGAAGUCCAUUACGGCGACGAAUAUCAUCAACGUCUUCAAUGGAACUUGCAAUUUCGGUACCUUGCUUGGAGCCUUCCUGUCUGAUACUUACUUUGGUCGUUACAAAACCUUGGGAUUUGCUUCAGUAUCCUCCUUUUCGGUAUGAAAAUUUGCAGUGCUAUAUCUUCUUGGUCAUAUCACUGCUUCAAACUCAACUUCAUUCAUCUAAUUAGUAAUAGUUGAAUGCAAAUCUAAUUCUUGGUAUCUUUCGAGUUCUAAUUGCAGGGUAUGCUUGUGUUAACUCUAACAGCAGCCAUUUCAAAGCUGCAUCCGCCUCAAUGUGGAAGUGGAGGUGAAGAGGCAGGCAGAUGCUUCGGUCCAACACCUUGGCAAAUGGCAUUUCUGUUUAGUGGCUUUGGAUUACUAGUUGUGGGUGCUUCUGGCAUUAGGCCUUGUAAUUUGCCAUUUGGGGCUGACCAAUUUAAUCCUAAUACAGAGUCAGGGAAAAGAGGAAUUAGCAGCUUUUUCAACUGGUAUUAUUGCACUUAUACAUUUGCAGUCAUGAUUUCAUUGACCACGAUUGUUUACGUGCAAUCCAAUGUGAGCUGGUCUCUAGGGUUGGCUAUUCCAACAAUUCUUAUGUUCUUAUCCUGUGCGGUUUUCUUUGCGGGAACAAGAAUAUAUGUGAAAGUGAUACCAAUGGGGAGUCCUUUAACUAGCAUUUCACAAGUUAUUGUAGCUGCAUUCAAGAAGAGACAAGUUGAGUUGCCAAAGCAACCGUGGAUCUCACUUUUCAACCAUGUUCCUUCCAAUUCCAUAAACUCUAGAAUCGCUUACACCAAGCAAUUCAGGUACUAUGCUUGCAAGAAUCACAUCAGUAUUCUGAAUUCAUUUUGUAUGUAUUGUUCGCACCUGUAAUUGUCUUCCAAUAAUAAGUGGUGGUCAUGUUCAGGUUUUUAAACAAAGCAGCUGUUAUAACAUCAAAUGACUCGAUCAAAGCAGAUGGAUCAACAGCAGAUCCAUGGAAACUUUGCAGUAUCCAGCAAGUUGAAGAAGUAAAAUGUGUAGUACGACUAAUUCCAAUGUGGGCUGUUGGAUUAAUCUACUAUGUUUCUGUAGUCCAACAACAGAACUAUGCAGUCUUCCAAGCCCUUCAAUCUGAUAGACGGCUAGGAAAGAGCAAUUUCCACAUCCCAGCUGCUUCAUACAUCAUCUUUGCUAUGUUGGCCAUUACAAUUUGGCUUCCCAUAUAUGACAGGAUUUUAGUUCCAUGGCUCGGAAGACUAACAGGGAAAGAAGAUGGAUUGACGCUCCUCCAGAAAGUCGGAAUAGGCCUGAUAAUAUCCGUUUUUGCCUUGCUCAUUUCAGGCUUCAUUGAGGACAGAAGGAGGAUCAUAGCUCUCACAGAACCAACACUGGGAUCAGUUCCUGGCAAAGGUGCAAUUUCUUCAAUGUCAGCAAUGUGGUUAAUUCCUCAAUUUGCACUAUCAGGACUUUCUGAAGCAUUCGCCCUGAUUGGUCAAAAUGAACUUUUCUACAAGCAAUUCCCUGAAAAUAUGAGGUGCUUUGCUUCAGCAUUCUUGUUUGUGGGCUUCGCAGGGUCCAGCUAUUUGAGUAGCUUCUUUUCAUCAAUGAUUCACAGGACAACAGAAUGGUUGGGAGAUGAUCUUAACAAGGGGAGAUUGGAUUACUUCUAUUACUUGAUUGCAGCUCUAGAAAUGUUUAACUUUGUCUAUUUUCUUAUUUGUGCACAGUGGUACAAGUAUAAAGGAUCAGACAGCAAUCCUGGUGAGAUGACCCUAGAAAUGAACCAUAAUAAUCAACAUGAACAAAUUCCUGCAGUCUGAUGAAAAUGCCAUAAUAUUUUUUCUUAAAGCAUGGAAUGCCUCACAGGCUGUGGGAACAAGGACUAAGGCUUCAGUCAGUUGUACGUAAGUUUAGUCAGUUGAACAAGAAUUGCAUAAGUUUAGUGAAGAUUUACUGUUUCAAAGAAGAAAUUAAGAGCAAACUUAACUUUUCUUAGUUAUGUCCACUCAAAGCUUUGAUUGCAUUUCGUUGUCUUAAUUUUCUGCAUAUAUCCUUGGCUUGGUUCCUUUAGGAUUCUACUAAUUUAGCAAGAAAAUAAAGAACUGCAGCAGAUGAUGUGCAUCUCCUAGUGAGGCCAUUUUCCUUCUUGAUUUCUCAAAAAUCACGAGCAGUAAAAUUAAUCGUUCAAAAAAUAAUUGAUACUUCACAGCACCAAAGAGGAGAAAUUUUGUCGAGUGACAACAUUGACAGCACAAUAUUAAGGUUAAUUACCAGUGACAUGAUGUUCCUCGUUCAUGGCCAACAGGUAUAUAUUCUGUAUCGAAGCCUCUUUCUAAAACAAGUAAUUAUAAUAAGUUUUUUCCAUUAGGUGACAAAAUAAGCAUAUUAAAAAAAAUGCAAAGUGGAUAAAUUAUUAAUGCUUUAAAAUUGUCACCAACCUCUGAAUUACAAUACUUUUGAACAAGAAAUUUAUCACAUUGGACCUCACCUUAUUUGGUGCAUAAACCCCUGUAAUAAUAAGAGUUAAUCUUACAUAUACUGACAGCAUAUAUACUGUUACCACUAAAGGUACGAAACAUUUGCAAAAUUUAGAUUUCAAAUUUAAAUUCAAAUUAAUUGUCAUACAUCUAAUAGUGAUAAUGUUUACGCUACCGGUGUAUACAUUAUCAAUCAUAAUAAUACUGUACUAGUUACUGAGUAAAGAUUAUAUAUAUGAUCCAAUAAAUAAUACAGCCAUGCGCAAUAAAAAACUAAACAUCAAAUCAGGUUGGUAUCUAAUGAGGUGGAAGAUGCUGGAAUCAAAUAGAACAAUAAUGUAUAGACAAACUACUUUCCUGGUUAGAGCGCCAUACUAUUGGUUGAAUAUGAACUGUUUAAUAAACGUAUGAUUUUAAAUUAUGGGAGAAAAGAAAGGAUAAGAAAAGAAGCGCAAAGGUUUUAAUAUUGUUUGAAAAUUUGUAGAAGAAAUUAGACGAUUUUGGGGAUGAUUUUGUGAUUUUGGGAGUUUAUGAUUUUAAUUUUUUCUUUUUUGGGAAGGGUUGGGUUAGGUCAUAGGUGAUGAGACGAGAGAGAUUAUAAGUAGAAGGUCUUGAUUUUAAAACAUUCCACUUUUAAAAAAAAAAAGUUUAGAAGUCAUUCAAAAAGAUUUUAUAAAGGACAAAGUUGGUAUUUUGAAAAAAUUAUACAAAGCUUUGUUCAAAUUUCCAUCCAAAUCUAGCCAUAAAUUAGGGCAGAAAACAUUUUGGCUAUGGGAGGGAAAGAAAUCUGUCCAAUGUCUUUUAUUUUCUUUCCCACGGUUUCUCCCAAACAACAGAAAUUUAAAAGUAUCCAUCGAAAGCUUUUCUUUUCUUCUCUUCUUUUUUUCUUGCUUACAAAACGCACUGUUCAUACACAGUAUUAAUUGUUAAGUUGUUAUAAAUUAACCAUUUUUUAUACGUUUAACCUUAAUGUUUGUCUUACAAUUAAUUAGCAUAUUAAAUUUUGUGAAAUAGCAUUUUGAGUUCUUUUUAUAUUAAUUUUUGUGUAAAAAAAUAAAAAUUAUAGAACACAAAAAAGUUCCCAUGCAAAUGCAUGGGAAAGAAACUUGUUUAUUCAAUAUUUUACUGUCACUCUUUUUUCUCAAUAUCCCAUCAAACAUGUAGCCUAUACUAGCACAAGGAUUUGUUCACGUGGUAAUUUUGAACCAAAAAGUAAGAGCCUUAAUAGCAUAAUGCCUAAGAUUUAAAUCCCAUCAUGAAGAAAUAUUUUUUUUUCUGCGCCUCCAAUACAACGCUAGCUGAGGUCAAAUGCACAGAUUUUGUUUGCUACUUAUAGUCGAUUAAUUACGACUGUGCCCCUCCUAUACAAGAAAAGAAAAAAACAGAAACAGAAAAAAUAGGGAAAGUGGAGGAAUCAGCGUGGACUUUGAGACAUACGCCAAGACAGUUUAAGCAAAAUAUGAAAAAAAAAAAAAGAUUAAUAUUUCCUACACUGAUAGUAUAUAUAUUAUCAGCGUUGAAUGAAUGACAACUAUAUAAAUCUUGAAUUUGAAAUUCAAUUUUUGUAUACAUGUUAUGAAUCUAAUAAUAAUAGUGUGUCAGUGUACGGAGCAUGAAGCCGUUGUGUUGUGCCUUCCCUACAAUUUGGCGUGAAAGAAAAUUGAAAGAUGAGGGGACCUUCUCUAAUUUUACACGAUAAAACUUCAAGUUUUGCAAUUCAAACAAUAUUCUUCUUUCUCUAUCUCUCUCUUUUUUUUUCCUUUUUUUGUUAUUUGUUUUUGGGGGGGGGGGGGGGGGGGGGGGUGGGGUGUUUGUGUAGUUGGGAGAGGUGGACAGAAAAGGUUGGAGGAAAAUCAUAAGAAUCAAGUGACUAAUUUCCUUUAUUUAUCCUUGGUCCCCAUUUCAUGCUUCCAAAAAUAGGCCAGAAGAACAACUUUUGGAAAAGGGUCCUUGUCUAAUUCACUAAAUUCUUCCAAUUCAUAUUCGGAAUAUCCACCAUUGUACUGUUGAUUUUCAUACGAAAGUCCGCCAACCAUUCGUUCAUUUAUAGUCAACCAUUCCAUCAGAAACGAUCAAACCUCUUUUGAAAGCUUGCCUUCAGGCAUCAAUUUCCGGGAUACAUCUACAUGAAGGGAAGGGGUACUUUAAACAUGUGUUGAUGAAAGUUCACAAAUGAAUCUACAAUAUUGUGAAUAUCUAAAGCAAACUAUUGGAACUUAGAUAAAAAGGUUAACAAACAAGGGCCAAAUUUAGACAAAAAGAUUAACAAAAAAAAAAAAGACCUCAUGGAAGCAGUCCCAUGCUCGAGAACUAUGCCUUCUUAAAGUUGCCAUAAAACCGCAAAUUCGAUCGACAUGAAACCACUUAGCUUACAUGAAUUGGCACUCGUAUCUCAUUUUCAUGGAUAAGGUUUUCCAAUUAACGGUAAAAAUGAUGAGGCUUUACGGCCAGAAUGAGAAGAUUUGAUGACAAUAAUAUACCCUGCACACUUGCGUGUGUCAGAUUAAAUCAAAACAAUGUUUACAUUUUACUUGCUGAAAGAAGGUAGACAACAAAUAUAACACGUCUCGGAAACCAAUGUCGGCAUCAAAUAUAGGAAAAAGUUUUUUUUUUUUUUUUUUUUUUUUUAUGGGAUAGCACUAGCAAGUUGUUAUAGCGACCUAGACCGACCAAAGAGGUAUAGAUGUUCUCUGGUGUGUUAGACGUAAUGAACCUUGCAUCUCUGUCCUAGCACAACAAUACCAGGGUUUCAUGUCCUCAUGAGUCAUGGUAGCCAAACUCGAAUUAUCCUUGGAAAGAAGAACCGUCCAAGAAUCUCCAUGUCUUCUUAUUCAUUUAUUUAUAUAUUUAGGACAAGAUAAUCACCUCAACCAUUAAUUAAUUGAUUAGUUUGUUCCAUUGAUAUUGAUGUCCACUCUCAAGUAGAGUCUCAAUGAUUGAUGCUUUCGUGGACAGAUGUUUUUCCACCGAUUGAGACGUCAAAAUGGUAGGAAGAGGCUGGAAGAGGCUACCGAUAGUUUGAAGUUGGCAAGUUGACUGUCCUAACCGGCCUGCAUUGAAUAUAGAAGAAUCCAUGAAAUGAUUUAUGGGAAUAUAACUAAACAACAUAGAGCAAAAACAUAUUGCUCCAUAAUUUUAUCAUAAAUAAACUCUUAAAUUUGGAUGUUUGCCUUCUAGGGUGUUUCAAGGAAUAAAUAUAAUUAUGCAGUUUUAUAGAAGAAUAUGUACGUGAGGUAAAAAGGUAAUCAGAGAAUGUGUUUAAAUUUUUCUAAAACAUGUUUUCUAAACGCAUGAGCAAUUGAGGCUAUGAUCUCCUUAAAUAGGGUACUUCUAGGAUGAAGAAACCAGUUCCUGGAACAAGUUCAUAAAUACUUUAGUUGACCAUUCCCCUUACUAGCUUGUAUGCUCGGUCUGUAUACACACUAUUGAGAAACAUACAUAAACUUGAAAUUAAGCACCUGCCUUUAGAGCUGAGAGCAAUGAAGAAUCAUGGACAGAAACAGAAAGACACAAAGCAUGAGCCAAAUUAUCAAGGAAUCAAGGCUAUGCCCUUUGUCGUAGGUACAUCAAUUUGAUGCUUAAUCGUUCUGAUACAAAUAACUGCAUUUGUUGGGUAGUAGAAGCAUGACAGUUUUAACAAUAUUCUACCAUGCAGGAAAUGAGGCUUUUGAGAAGCUUGGAACAAUUGGAUCCUCAUCCAAUCUCUUGGUUUAUCUGACUUCUAUUUUCCAUAUGAAGACCAUCACUGCCACCAACGUCAUCAACAUCUUCAAUGGCACUUGCAACUUAGGUACUCUGGUUGGAGCUUUCCUUUGUGACACUUACUUCGGUCGCUACAACUUGCUGGGCUUUGCUUCAGUUUCCUCUUUCUUGGUGAGCAACUGAGCAUUAUUCUUAACAGUUACAGCUGAGGAGACCGUGGCCUAGUGAUUAAGGUUAAGAACUCAGAAUUUGAAAGUUUUAGGUUUUAAUCUCUCUUUCCCCUCCCCACUUCUUAAAGCCCAUUCAUCUCCCUGCUCUAAGGGGAAAAAAAAUCUUAACAGUUAGUAUAAAUUUAGCCCCUUUUACCAUGCUUAAGAGUACAACUUCAUGUACUGAAAAGAAUUUUUUUUAUCCUAAUAUUAGAGUAUGCAGUAAGUAAGAAUAUUGAUGAUUUUUUGUUAAUGACCCUUGUGGUGCAGGGAAUGCUUAUGCUUACACUAACGGCAGCAGUCUCCAAGCUGCACCCUCCGGCGUGCGGCGAAGGAAGCGGAUGUGCUGGUCCAUCACCGGGGCAGCUAAUAUUUCUGAUAAGCUGUCUGCUGCUCCUAGUGCUAGGGGCUAGUGGGAUAAGGCCAUGCAAUUUGGCCUUUGGAGCUGAUCAAUUCAAUCCAAAUACAGAAUCAGGGAGAAGGGGGAUCACCAGUUUCUUCAAUUGGUACUAUUUGACCUAUACUUUUGCCAUGAUGGUGUCUCUAACAAUAAUAGUUUAUAUUCAAUCGAAUGUGAGCUGGUCGAUUGGAUUCGCCAUUCCAGCAGUUUUGAUGUUUUUAUCGUGUGCAUUCUUCUUCUUGGGUACGAGGAUAUAUGUCUGUGUAUUGCCAGAGGGAAGUCCAAUGUCUAGCGUGGCUCAAGUUGUAGUUGCUGCAAUCAAGAAAAGGAAAUUGAAGCAGCCAGACGAUCCUAAGGUGUCUCUUUUUAACAGUUUUUCUACUGCCAGUUCUAUCAAUUCAAGGCUUCCUUAUACGGACCAGUUCAGGUAAUCAUGAUAUAUAAACUUUGUGCAGAAAAAAUCUCUCUCAAGGACAGUGGUCAAUUGUUCAGUCCAAAAGAGUAAAAUUCUCGUGCACUAGAUUUAGUUUUCGUAGUACUGUAGUUAACAAUAAAGAUCACUUUUUGUCACAUCAGAUUUCUCGACAAAGCUGCAAUCAUAACCCCUGAAGACGAAAUAAAUUCGGACGGAUCACCAGCAAAUCCAUGGAGACUCUGCAAUGUUCAGCAAGUAGAGCGAGUUAAAUGCAUAUUGAGGGUAAUUCCCAUAUGGGUAGCAUGCAUCGUCUACUUCAUUUCAGUAGUUCAAAUCCAGAACUACGUUGUUUUUGAAGCCCUUCAAGCAGACAGGCGUUUUGGCACCAGCGAAUUCAAGAUUCCUGCAGCUUCUUACAUCGUUGUAGCCAUGCUAGCCCUCACCAUCUGGGUCCCGAUUUACGACAGAUUAAUAGUUCCAUGGCUGAGGAGGGUUACUGGAAAAGAAGAUGGCCUAACCAUCCUGCAAAGAAUUGGAAUUGGAUUUGCAUUUUCUGUUGUGACUAUGAUCGUUUCAGGCUUGGUGGAGAGCAAAAGAAGAAGCAUCGCCCUCUCUAAGCCAACAAUCGGGUUUGAACCGAAAAAAGGUGCCAUUUCUUCCAUGUCAGGUUUAUGGCUAUCUCUGCCAUUGGUUUUGUCUGGGAUUUCAGAAGGAUUCGCCAUCAUAGGAGAAAAUGAAUUUUUCUACAAGCAAUUCCCUGAGAGCAUGAGGAGCAUUGGGAUGGCUUUCAUAUUUGUUGGCACUGCAGUAGCGAGUUAUUUGAGUAGUUUGAUAUCAUCAAUUAUUCAAAGCAUAACAGGCAGGAGUCAUGGAGAAAGCUGGUUAGCUGAAGAUCUCAACAAGGGAAGAUUGGAUUACUAUUAUUACUUGAUAGGAAUUUUGCAGUUCUUGAAUUUGAUUUAUUUUCUAGUCUGUGCGAGGUGGUACAAGUACAAAGAGGCAGAGGACGUUUCUGAAGUGGCCGUGGUGAAAUUGCAGUCUGAAGAGAAAGAAAUUGUUUGAGAUUUUUAAAUGAUUUUAUACAUGGAUCCAAUUUUCAUUCAUGAUUGGGAGAAGGCAAACUAAUCAUUUGGCUUGAAUUUUAACAUGUGAAAAUUGAGUAGUAAUUUCAAUUGCAAUGUGUACAUGAGGUCAUAGCUUAUUCAACAUGAGUGCUACAAUAUAAUGAGCCUUGACAUUCCAAUCAUUGCAUACUUUAAGGUUUUUUUUUUAUGUGAAAUUAUACUUAUGGAAGGAUUAUAUUGUAUACAAAUUUGAAAAUAUUCACCUGAAUUGGAGAUUUAUUUUUCCAAUUAUUAGUUUAAAUGCAUUAUGCGUCAAUGGAUAGAUAUAUAAUAUCAUGAAGAUAUAGUAUACAAGUUUUAAUAUUUGCACAUCCUAAAGAAGUUGAGACUAUGCUCAAUUCAAGCAUGUUUAAUGAGCCAAAGUGCAGUAUGAAAUGAAUUAAGUUAUUUACUCAAUUUUGGGUGAAUUGCACUCAAUUCCCUGCAUUUAUAAAUUUUCUCACUUUGCCCCCCACAAUUUUGUUGAUCAACCCUUUAACCACACCUUUUGAUUGAAAUUGUAGAGAUUGUGUGUAUUUGAAAAUUUUUUUUUUUGAGGUGUUUUUAGAGUAUUUUACUGCACCCUCUGAAAACAAAAACAAGUUUACGAAAAACUCCACAAUAUUGUAUUUUUGGUCAAAAGAUUAUUCAAUUAACAUUUUCGUCCAAAUAUAGAUAUAGGCAUGCUACUGCUAGGAUUGUUUGCAAUUGCUUAAAACCAGUUGCAUAGCUUUUGUUUAAGCGAAAAAUAUCUUGACUUGUUUUCAAUCACUUUUUCCUUUUGCAAUUAGAAACAGCUUUGCCUAUUUAAACAUGAAAGAAAAGAAUUGUCAUUUUUUAUCAAUUACAGAAAUGAGGGGAAAACUAUUUAAAAAAAAAAAGGCUUUAUAGAAGUAGUCAACGGAGUUAUAAAUUAGGCCUAGUUUGGGAGAUUAUGCAAGAAAGGGAAAAUAUAUAACAAUUCAAAAAAAAAAAAAGUGAGGGUUGGAAAAUCCUAUAAUAUCUUUCUCAUCGUCAUUGGAGUUUCAGAUUCGUAAAGGAUGAUGUUUGACUGACGCUAUUGUUAUCAUCUUUUAUUCCAACUUUUUUGGGAAAAAUGUAGUGUAUGGGAAUUUUAUAAAGCUUCCUUUUUCUGCCUACAAAAAUUUUACAAAUUGACUGCUCCCCCUUGUCUAUUAUUUCCCAUAUUCCUCUACCCAUUUCUCAUAACAAGUCAACGUGGAGGGAAGAUUUGAAAAGGCCCAAAGACGACGCGGAUAAAAAGUCAACGUUGUUGAGGGAGGAUUUGAAAAGGCUCAAGAAUAAUGCGGAGGGAUUGAAUACCAUCGAAUUAAACGGAUGCCUACCACCCGCUGACUGACGACACAUCAUUCUAUCAUUGCCGUGAUCAUUCAUAACUCCCAAAAGUAUACAGAGACGAACCCACCAGAUGCUUUAAGCCAAGAAGAAAGACAUAGUGGCGUUGAAUCACAUAGUGGCAAUGGACCAUAAUCUCUAUCAAUAGGCACUGCGAAUGGAAAGCAAGUCAACGAGAUAUCAAUGGAGCCAUAAUACCUGCCGACCCCUCUUUUAUUAGAGCCUAAUCUCAUGGUUUGCAGGACAGAAUCUUUCCUCAAGAUUUUUGGAAAAUAUUUCUUUUUUUUAUUAUUAUUUUAUUGUGUCUAUGAUUAUGAGAUAUAGGACUCUCAACGAAUCUAAUCAAUCCAAAUACUUUAGUGUUCAAACUUGUUUGAUUAUAUUAACAAGUUUAGAAUUCUGUUUAAACUUGACUCGUCUAUUUACCAAACCAAAUUCAACCAAGUUUUUAUUGAGUCGAACUCGAGUAACUCGAGUUUUUUUUUUAUUACUUAUGAAUUCUAAUUUGUUCUAAUCAAAUUCAGUUUGAGUCGAACUUAAAAUUUUACAAACACAAAAAGCUGCUCAAGUUUGAAUCGGGUUCGAACGAGCUCUUGUCGAAGCGCAUUCCAUGGAGUAUCGAAUAGUCUGAUUCAUCUUUCAAUCUUGGUAAGAUAAGAUGGUUCUAUUUUAAAACUUUAAUAUGAUCAUCCACACUAUUAACCACAUACAUGUUGCCAUGUUAGAUGGUGUUUAAGGUUCAAACCAUUUCUUCAUCAUUAGGAUUAGUUAUUGACAUAGUGCAAAGCUCAUGUAAUUUACUAAAUUUAGUACUUGGUUGGUUUUUCGUUCAAACACAUUAUUCUGUAAUAACAGAAACCAUCCAAAUUACUUAACAUCUCUCACAAAGCAACCCUCAAUGGCAUCACUAUCCAAAAGAUAAUCACCACAAUGGCAUAUCAUUCAAUAAUUUUCAUGGCAGACAGUAACCAUAAAUAUCCACCACUGUAACAGAUUAAGUACUAAUAUUUAUGGCCUACUCCAUAUAAAAUACUACAAUUAUGCAUCAAAAUCAAGAUUGCGUGGUUAUAUCGGGGAAGAACACUGGAAUGUUGAACGAACUGAUGUGCUAACAGAAUACGUAUCAAAAGCGCAUAUGUGUCUAUGUCAUUCACUUUCAUAGCCAAUAUGAAGUUGAGAAGUUGCAUUUUCCAUAAAUUUAUUGCAAAAAAAUCAAACAUUUAAUGACACCUAAAAACAGAACAAUAUUUAAAAAAAAAAAUGCUUGCCUGAGCUUACGAGUCUGAAUUUGAUUGGUGAAAUUUUAAAAGAUAUGGGAAAUACCUUCUGAUACUGUGAUAAUUCUGCAUAACGAAAUAUUAGAGUUUCAAAAGCUGCUCUUAAUGACACAAUCGGAAGAAAAAUUUGAGUUGUAAACUUUGACCAUGCUAUUUGACUUAAAGCAGAAAAGACACACUACAGCAAUAUGAAAAAUCUUAUAUCUAUUUGGAUACACACAUGAAUUGUACAAGAGUUAUCUCCGCAGCUAGCUAAGAACAAGAAUUCUUGUGGACUAAACGUAUUAGGGUUUUCAUUUGCAUUUUGAUUACUUGGCUAUAGUUUUUUUUUUUUUUUUUUAAAAGGCUAAGUAAUUUUUUUAUUAAAUUUUUUUCUAACAGGGGAAUUAUAGUUAGUUUUUUCAACGCGGAGAUCAUAAAGAUUUCGUUGUAUAAGUAGGUUUAUAUAUUUUUUUUAAGGCUAAUUAGUUUUUUUAUUAAGCUUUUUCCUAAUAGGGGAAUUGGAGUUGGUUUUUUCUAUGCGGAGAUUGUAAAGAUUUCAUUUUAUAAGCAGGUUUAUAUGUAUAACACAUGAAAUUAAAUAAAAAUUUUAAUUAUUUGUCAAACAUAUUCAAACUCUUUAGAGCAAACAAGUCACUGUUAGAGAAAUUAUCCACUUGCUUAUGCAUAUUUAGUGGCAGCAGCAAAUUUCAAGGUGAAAAUGAAGUAGAAAGUUUUUUAACCAUUGUCUCCAAGGGAAGUGGCUGAAAUGGUGGAAACCCCCACCUUGUCUUCUCAAAACGACCUCCCACGACGUCGUCUAAAGACUAGUUUAUGAUAGAGCAUCCCACUAUAUGGGAUUAUUUUUUGAACCUAGGACCUCUAAUUCUUGAGGAGCAUGAUUAAUAUUAGGGUAAAUCCCACUUUAUCCCCUUGUGGUUUAGCAUUUUUUCACAUAACUCCCCAGUGGUUUCAAAAGCUAUACAUAACCCCCUUAUGGUUUGGAUUAAAGUGUCAAAGUGACGGAAAUGAUCAUUCGCAACGGCGUCACCUAAAAUGUCAAAAUUACCCUUAUGUAAAGUUGAAAAUUAUUUAUUAACCAAGGGGGAUUAUGUGUAUAUUUUGAAAAUCAUAAGGGGAUUAUAUGGUAAAGUACUAAACCAUUAGGGGGUUAUAUGGUAAAAUAUAAAAAGCAUACGGGGUUAAUGCGUCAUGUAUUUAUAAGGGUAAUUUCGACAUUUUUAGAAGUUCCGUUACGAGUGACUAUUUCCGUCACUUUGACACUUUAAUCCAAACCAUGAGGGGGUUAUGUAUAGCUUUUGAAACUAUAGGGGGGUUAUGUAAAAAAAGGAUAAACCACAAGGGGGUAAAAUGUAAUUUACCCUUAAUAUUAAAUUAGUCUUUUUUUACUCUUUUAAUUUUAGUCAAAUGUAAUGUAGAAAAAAUGAGAAUGAAGAGAUAUUAAACAUAUUCGCCUUCCAUCUAGCUGAAUUGGAGUCCAUAUCUAGCAAUAAAAUAAAAUAUUAGAAUAUGCUUUUCCAAAAUGUUUUAUAUCAAAUUAAUUGCCAUGUGGGAACUUCACCGGGAAUAAUAAAACAUAGCAAAUAGAUUAAUCAAUCAAAAUUCAAAAGAAUGAAGAUGCAUCAAUAACUGAUUAAAGUUGAGUAAUCAUUUUUCUAAAUUAAUUACCAACCACAAUUAUAAUCAACCUUAGGCAUUAAUCGAUUAAAACAAUCUUGUAAACAUGAUAACUUAGUAUCAAAAAGCACAUCCCCAUUUUUUUUUUUUUUGUUUUGGCUUUUGUAUUGCCAUUUCCCCUAUUUAGUUUUCCUUUUAAAGUAAUUAACAUUAUUCACAACGUCAGUUAGUUAGUGCUGAUCAGGCAUUCGUUAGACAAACCUUCGUCUUGUAUUGGUUUCGAUCAAUCUAAAAUAAUUGUUUUGCUCUUAUAUCUUAUCUUUUUAAUUACUAGACUUUUUAUGAAUUUCAAUUUGAACUCGGUAUCUAUUGAAAGAAAAGAAUAAAAUCAUUGAGGGAAAAAAUGGAUCUGGACCAUAUUUUUAAUAAAAUCAUUAACAAACAUUUCAAAGAAAUAAUUGAUUGAGCCAUCAACAAUAAUUCUACGAACCCUUCUUGGAUUUCGAAAAGGAACAGUAAACAUCGCCAAUUUUUAUGGCCAGAACCAUAAUGUAACAUGGAGGAUAGUCAACAAAGUAUAUAUAACAAAAGUAUAAAUCAAAAUUGUAGUAUUGAACUUGAUCAUCCGAUCUCCUAAAUGAACCCUGAUACUGCACCUGAACAUCUGUCCAUCUCCAUAACGCGUCGUAACUCGUAAGGUAAGCAUUGCGUUUACUCUCUGUUUGGUCGAUCCAUUAUGGUGGCCAUGUCAAAUCAUUAUUUAUUAGUGCAUAAAAGAGAACAACCACCGUGUCCUGGGAGGCCGAGCAACUUGAAAGUGUUGAUUUUCAUAUUGAAUUCAAUCUGCAAACCAAUUCUAUCAUGGUAUAUAAACAAAAUUGUAAACAAUAAUGGCAUUAGAACAGGAGCCAAUAAUUGGUCCAUCAAGAAUUAGAUUAUUUUUUAUACAUCAAGAAAUAUGUUUAACUGACAUGUAUAUAAGAAAAUUUUAUGCGAAUCAAUUACUUGCACGUUGCUACUAUCAUCAAUGGAAAAACAGAUGUAUACAAGUUAAUUUAACCGGGUUGACAAUUCCAAUAUUAGUCCAAGUUGAUAGGCUAAUCGCUUAGAUUAUAGGUGAAAAAAAAAAACAUCCGUCAAAUACACCUCUGACACGGAUUUGUUUUUAUUCUAUACAUGCCGUGCUCUGACACAGACUUGUUCUUAUGAGUCAGCACGGCUCCAAAAUUAAAUUUCGCACGAGUUAAAAAAUACAAGCCUGCAGCCAUGCUUUUGCGUCAGUUCGAGCCGUGCAUAGUCAGCAUGGCUCGGACUGACAUAAUUGUAGAAUGUGGCCUUUCUGCAGACUUUAUUUCUAUGCCUAGUCAUUGCUGAAAUUGUCUAUCAAGAACCGAACUUUGAAGGCAUCUUUUGCUUGAUUGCAGCUGUGCAAAACCCAAGAUUCUUCCCUUGUUCGUUGCUUCUAAGGAUUUAGCUGUGAGCCCAUAAUUUUUUUUCCUCGGUUAAAGCAGGGUAAGUGCAGAAACUGCUUCAAUCAGCUCAGGUUUUUACCUUUGGCUGGAUUUGGACUGACCCUUUUGGUUUUUUGUUUCUCCUCUUUAAAUAGAGAAAGAGGCCUAAUGGAGACAGAAAAUGGAGAUGGCCAAUCCCGGUUGGAAGAAUAUGAAGUAAUGGAGCAGAUUGGCAGAGGAGCUUUUGGAGCAGCAUUUCUUGUUUUGCAUAAAAUUGAGAAAAAGAAGUAAGAAUCUCUUAAACCCCAGUUUUCCCAUGUGGGUUGUGCCUAAGUGUGCGUGUUCUUGUGAAUUUGUGUGUCUAUAUAUUCUUUUUAAUUUAUGGGCUCUGUUUAUUGGGUUAUUCUGCACAUAUUGGUGUAUUUAAUGAAAAGCGGAUAAAUAUUCAUAAUUCUUUAUCUUUUUGGUGUUCGGUUAAUUCUUCAAAAAUAAAAAUAAAAAAAAACAUUAUUGGCUUUUUCUUCCCAUUCUUCUUCCUUCUUUCCUUCUUCUUUGGCUGCUUCUUUCUCUUUCUUUUUUCCUCUAGCCAUGUGAAUUUAAGCAGAAGUAUUUCAACAUGGCAUCGAAAAAUCAGUUAAUACCAAGAAAAAGAUGCUACAAAAUGCCCAUUACAAGUAACUCAAGUAGGAAACAGAAAUCAAUCAAUUGAUAUAAAGAACAAGCAAGGAUUCACAGAAUUAACACAUAAAUAAAAUAAUGGUUUUUGGGAAGAAUACUGGCAGAAAAUUACUUGACAGUUAGUUCACAGUGGUUCUGGCUUUUUCUUUACUAUAAUAUUUUCUUGAAAUUUUGUAAUUGAGAGGGCAAAAGGAGCCUUUUUUGCUGAUAAUUUUAGUAAUAAUUAAUAUGCAUCUGGAAGUAAUGUUGAAAAUUGAGAAGUGAAACUAAUAUAUGAUGCCUGUUUUCACUUUUCUGUUGGAUUGAAAUGAAAUUCUUUUGUGUUGUUAUUGUUAUUUAUUUUCAUGAAAUAGUGCACAAGAAUAUGACCCCCAGCCCCAGCUCAUCCGGCUCAAACUUCACAUGGCCUUAUCGGCCUUUGUCAGGCGCCUGACACUUUUUUUUUUUUACUGCCGAGAGGCAAUAAAAAAAGUCACGCCCAUUCUGACUUUUUCAAAUUUUUUCCCAAAAAAAAAAAAAUUGCUCUCAUGCAUCCGUGCUAACUCAGCACGGCCGCUAUAAAUUGAAAAACACCUUAUAUCAGAGGUGCAUUUGGCGGAUGUUUUAUUUUUUUACCUAUAAUCUAAGAAAUUAGCCGAGUUGAUACUCAUGCCCACACGCCACACCUAAGAUUUUGUACACCAUACACAACGUCGCAAAUGUCAAACUCCACCCAGCCUGCCUGCCAAGAGAAAAGUUGAAAAUUUUCGACUUGAUUUGAUUUGGAGGGAUUUCGGCCCCUAAAUAAUGCACGUAAAGGUCCCAGCUAACUAUUUUGCAGUACAACUUCUUUAAUCUAUCUUCUGACUAUUUGCCUCAUCAUAACAUGCACUUCAGUUCUUAAGAUAGCAAAGGGGAAAAAAAAUUUUUGUUUUGUUUGGAGGAAAGGACUCAUCUUGAAGCAGAAACCAUGAAGAAUCAUGAGCAAAAGGCCACAAGACCAGAGCCCAAACAUAGAGGAAUUAAAGCUAUGCCCUUUGUCAUAGGUUGGUAAAUUUGAUGCUUCUUGUACUAUUUCUGCACAUAGAUAAGUGUAUGUCUUGGCGUACUUUGGAUAACCUAACCACGGGAUGAAUUUUGUAUGCAGGAAAUGAAACUUUUGAGAAGCUUGGAACCAUUGGAACCUCAUCCAAUCUCUUGAUUUAUUUGACUUCUGUUUUCCACAUGAAGACCAUCACUGCCGCCAAUAUCAUCAACAUCUUCAAUGGCACUUGCAACUUUGGUACUUUGGUUGGAGCUUUCCUUUGUGAUACUUAUUUCGGCCGCUACAACAUGCUCGGGUUUGCUUCAGUUUCUUCUUUCCUGGUAAGCAUUAGUCCAUUGAUUACUCAUCUAAAUAGCAUUUUUCUCCAUAGCUCGAUCGAGUUCGGGUUUUAAUUAAAGCUUCUUGUAAUUCUUGGAUCAUUUUGAAGGACAUGAUCAUUUCAAUUCUGAGUACCCUCUUCUGCUCUUCUGCAGGGCAUGUUGAUGCUUACGCUAACAGCUGCAAUCCACAAUCUGCACCCCCCUGCAUGCGGCGAUGGCAGCAUAUGCGCCAGCCCAACACUAUGGCAGAUGGCAUUUUUGUUAGGCGGUUUUGCACUGCUAGUAAUAGGGGCUAGUGGCAUUAGACCAUGUAAUUUAGCCUUCGGAGCUGAUCAGUUCAAUCCCAAAACAGAGUUUGGGAGAAGAGGGAUCAAUAGUUUCUUCAAUUGGUAUUAUUUGACCUACACUUUCGCCAUGAUGGUGUCACUCACAAUCAUAGUCUACGUUCAAUCCAACAUGAGCUGGUCUAUUGGACUAGGGAUUCCAACGUUUCUCAUGUUCCUGUCUUGUGCACUCUUCUUCUUGGGCACAAGAAUUUAUGUUAUCGUUUUGCCGGAGGGAAGUCCAUUGGUCAGUGUAGCUCGAGUUGUAGUUGCUGCAAUCAGGAAAAGGAAAUUACAGCUGCCGGAGGAACCUAAGCAGUCCCUUUUUAGAAGUUUCUCUACCGCAAGUUCCAUCAAUGCAAGGCUUGCUUAUACAGAUCAGUUCAGGUAAUAAUGGACUCAGCAUUUUUUUUUUUUCAUAUUCUACAACUCAUAUCACAUGCUGCUGGUUAGUACUACUAGUACUAUCAAAUUAGUGUAUAUAAUAUAACCAAAAUUUUUUUUUUUAAAAAAAUGAUAUAAUGAUUUUAGCCUUUAUAGGUAAUCAAAGUUCCCAAAAUAGGCCCACCUCUAUUCUCUUUGCCCCUUUUCAAUAUCAUGUUUUGGUUGCAAUUCUCAAUCCUUUCUUUUACCACGAAAUCCCUUACAUUGCCCUUCCCUUCAGUCCGAUUUGAACAAAUAAACAAGGGAUAAUUGCAGAAACCUCCCCUGAGAUUUCUGACAUUUGCACUGACCCCCCCUAACAAUUUUGAAAUUGCAUUAACCUCCCCUAGAAAAAAGUUGGAACUAAUUUAAAAGGUAAAAGUGUGUGAAAUUACUAGAGUACCCCUAUUACAUUUGACUUUACCAGAUGAAAGGUUUGAGUACUUUCAUCAAAAUCAACGUUUAAUUUGUUAAACAAAUUAAACUAAUCAAACUAUUUCUGCAUAGUUAAAUUAAUUAACUAAUUAACUAAUUAUCUAAUUAACUAAUCAAACUAUUUCUUCAUAGUUAAACUAAUAACUAAUUAUCUAAUUGUUAAUAGUUAUUAACUAAUCAAACUAUUUCUGCAUAGUUAAACUAAUUAACUAUUAACUAAUUAUCUAAUUAACUAUUAGCUAAUUAACUAAUUAUUUAAUUAAUUAAUAAUCUAAUUAACUAAUUUCUAUUUAUCUAAUUAACUAAUUAAAUAAUUAUCUAAUUAACUAAAUCUGUUGUCUGUCCGAAACUAACAAACUAUUUGCAUGUUAAACUAAUUAACUAAUUAACUGCUUAACUAAUUAACUAACUAAUUAUCUAAUUAAUUAAUUAACUAAUUAACUAAUUUCUAUUUAUCUAAUUUACUAAUUAUCUAAUUAACUAAAACUGCUGUUUGUCUGAAACUAACAAACUAUUUGCAUGUUAAACUAAUUAACUAAUUAACUAACUAACUGAUUAAUAGACUAUUUGCAUGUUAAACUAUAUGCAGUACGCAUUACCUAUUUAAAGUAUCGGCUCUUUAUGGGUAUUUUACUUUCAAACAUUUAAUUUAUGAUAAAAAUAUCAAUAUUUGUAAGUAAAAUUCAAAAAGUGUUACAAAAAAUAUCAAUAUUCUUACUUUCAAAUAUUUAAUUUAUGGCCCUAUGUCCCUCCCCUUUUGUAAGAAUAUUACUGUAAUACUUUUGAAUUUUACUUACAAACAUUGAUGCUUUUAUCAUAAAUUAAAUGUUUGAAAAUAAAAUACCCAUAAAGAGCCAAUACUUUAAAUAGGUUAUGCGUACUGCAUAUAGUUUAAUAUGCAAAUAGUCUGUUAAUCAGUUAGUUAGUUAAUUAGUUAAUUAGUUAAGCAGUUAAUUAGUUUAACAUGCAAAUAGUUUGUUAGUUUCAGACAAACAACAGUUUUAGUUAAUUAGAUAAUUAGUAAAUUAGAUAAAUAAAAAUUAGUUAAUUAGUUAAUUAAUUAACUUAGUAAUUAGUUAAUUCCUUAAUAGUUAAUUAGAUAAUUAGUUAAUAGUUAAUUAGCUUAACUAUUAACUAAUUAGUUAAGCAAUUGUCAAGCAAAUAAUAAUUUUCAAGUAAGAUGAGGGCAAAAUUGGAAGAAAUAUUUUAUCUCACUUCUACAAAUAAUUUUUUAUGGGACAUCAAACUGUCAGGGAGGUUUCUGCAACGAAUGGUUACUGUUCAGGGGAGGUAAAUGCAAUUUCUAAACCUAGAGGGGAAGUCAGUGCAAAUGUCAAAAAUCUCAGGGGAGGUUUCUGCAAUUAUCCCAAUAAACAAAUGUAAGUUGUGCACAUUGCAAGCAGUAAUUAAUAUAAAUUAAAUUGAAAUUGUACCUAUUAAUAGUUUUGGGGCAAAGAGCCAAUUAUUGAUAGUUCAACAGGGGCAGCAUGCAAUUAACUAAAAAUUCAUACUGCUCUGCUUUUAUUGUUUGGUUCAGAAGAGGAAACUCUUGAGCUGGUAUGGAAAAUUGACAAUUUUCCAGAAUCACGAAGAAAUACCAUCUUUUCUCCUGUCCCUGUCGAUAGAACUAAUAUUUAAUUUCAUCAGUUGCUCCAAAAGGAUAAUAGUAAAUAGCUGCAAAGUCUAAUGGAGAAUUAAUUAUUUCAAGACGGACCUGCCUAACACCUAUCCUAUUUUCGAUAAAUGAGCACAAUGGACCUCAAACUUUUAGCAAAUUAUAAUUUGUCAUUCUUAUAUAUCUUUUUCCUUUUUCUUUUUUGGUUGAACUUGUGCUCAAGUUUACUAGUUUUGUCCACCAACAGUAAAAAGCACUGAUUCAAAUCUCUUUUGAUACAUGAUCAAAUCCGAGCAAAUCACUCUAAAAGGCCCUUAAUGUCUUUCACAAACAUGCCAGGUAGUUCUCAAAGUAAUCACUAAAUACUGCAGUUUCCAAGUUUCCUUGGGCAGAUAAAAUUGAAUUGAAAUUGUGAAUUUAAUAAUGAUUGCCCACAAUUGUUUAGUCCAUUGCUUCACAAAUUCUUUUGGAAAAUUUCAUAAAAUUUUGUUUAAUGCCUGAUAAUCUUAGGCCAUGUUUGAUAAUUCAAUCCAAUACUUAAAUUUAAUGGAUUUAUAUCUUAAUAUGUUCAAGCGCGUUUGAUAACCAAAAAUUGAAUAUCUGAAUUAAUUAAGUGACAUUGAAGUUCUUAAGCAAAACUUGCUCUCAAAAAUUAGUGAUAUGGUAUUCAGUUAUCACUGAAUAUGAUAUACACUCAAAUAUAUUUGAUUUAAUAUUUAACAAUUCAAUAGUUUAAUGAAUUUAUAUUUCAAAUUUCAAAUUUCAGAUUUCAAUUUUCAAACUUCAGUUUUUAUCAAACUUUAAUACAUUUCGAGGUGAAAGAUCAGUUUACAGAACAACUAUGCAUUUACUUUACAGACGAACCAAUAUCUUGGCUUAAUCAGUGGAUAAAUGCUUUGCAUUAACAAGCAAGAUGGUUUUGCAUUCAGAUUUCUCAACAAAGCUGCAAUCAUAACAUCUGAAGAUCAAAUAAACCCAGAUGGAUCAGCUGCAAAUCCAUGGAGACUUUGCGAUAUUCAACAAGUUGAGGAAGUGAAAUGCUUGUUAAGAGUGAUCCCAGUUUGGAUUGCAGGCAUCAUCUACUUUGUUUCUGUGGUCCAACAGCAAAACUACGCUGUAUUUCAGGCCCUUCAAGCAGACAGGCGGUUUGGCAAAAGCAAGUUCAAGAUCCCUGCAGCUUCUUACAUCGUAUUCGCGAUGUUAAGCCUUACAAUCUGGAUACCAAUUUGGGAUAGAAUCGUAGUUCCAUGGCUGAGGAAACGCACAGGACAUGAAGGUGGCCUCACAAUCCUGCAAAGAAUGGGAAUUGGCAUGGCAUUGUCCAUUUUAACCAUGGUUGUAUCAGGCUUGGUUGAAAAUAAGCGACGAGCGACUGCCCUUACUAAGCCAACACUAGGGAUUGAACCACGAAAAGGUGCCAUUUCUUCAAUGUCAGGUUUUUGGCUAACUCCACAAUUGGUUUUUUCAGGGCUGACUGAGGCAUUUACGAUUGUUGGCGAAAAUGAAUUUUUCUACCAGCAAUGCCCUGAAAACAUGAGGAGUAUUGCCAUGGCAUUUGUAUUUGUUGGGAUUGCAGGAUCGAGUUAUUUAAGUAGUUUAUUAUCAUCAAUAGUCCAAAGCAUAACAAGUAGAAGCAAUGGAGAAAGCUGGUUAGCAGAAGAUCUCAAUAUGGGAAAGUUGGAUUACUUCUAUUACUUUAUAGCUGUGCUGGAGCUCCUGAAUUUGAUCUACUUUCUGGUCUGCGCCAAGUAUUACAAAUACAAAGAAACAGACACCACCCCUGAGGUGGCCAUGGAGAAAGUAGUGCAAUCUGAAGAAAAGGCUGUUGUUUGAGAAAUUAAAGAACUUGAGCAGUUUCGGUUAUAAAUAAAUUAAGGGAUGGCAUCCCUUUUUUUUAAAAAAAAAAAAAAAAGAACUUGAGCAGACAGAUGAUAAAGUAUUUGCACCUCCAACCUGGAUCAGUAAUGGGGAAAUGGGAAAGGAAUUUGCCAUUUGCCACAACAUUUUUUUAGUACUGGUCUUUCUGGAAUGCAAUUUUUAGGCAACUAGUCGGAGCCAUUUUUUCUGUGCUCAAAUGUCAUUUGAGCUGUGUUUUACUUUCAACAGCCUGAAAUAAAGAAGAAUGAGUUGCAGUAAUUCAUUAUUCCAAUAAGCCUUGUUAAAUACCCGCUUCGAUUGGCCCUUCCAUGUCUCUAUACUUGAGAAGCAAUAUCUGUGAAAUCUGUAUUACAGGGCGAAUAAGGUAAGGCUUGCUCGCAUGUAAAGUUGAUUGAAUGAUUUUCUCUACUGCAAAAAUGUUCUUUGAGUUUUGGUUCGAUAAAUUCUGUUAAAAGAUUGUGAAGGGGAUGGUGGAAUGGUUUUUCUGCUAAAAAAGUCCUUUCAGUUUUUUUCCCCUUUAUGGAUUAUCUAUGAAAUGAAUUUUCUUGUAGAUUAAAUGUCUUGGUGUAGUCAUUAAGUAUCUAAAUAUGCUUCAGCUUGAGCUUGACAACAAUCAAAAGCUCUCCAAUUCAGCUCAAAAAAAAUUAAACUCUAUCUACUUCAAUUCGAAAGUUUUAGCUAUACUUCCACGUGCAAUUGUACUCACUUUUGUAUUUAAUGUUGUGGUAAAUGCACACAAAAAAAAAAUCAUAUUUCAUACAAAGUGGAUACAAAUGCCAAUUUGUGAUAACAUCCUAAAAUUAAUACAGAUCUUUUGUUCCACUUCUUAUUUCCACUCUCUACUCCACUUUUUGUUAUAUUGCUAUUUUCCUUCUACAAACAUCAUUUUUUUGUCUUAUUAUCAAAUAACUACUAACACAGUAAAAAAUAAAUAUAACCAUCUCAACAAAGUAAUAUAUAAUAGAAAAUCAAAAAAUAUAGCAGAAAAUUCAUUUUAAAAAACCUCAUUUUUUGUGUAUUUUUAUUUUUUGAGUUUGUCAAAUUUGUGUAUUAUUCAGUAAUAAUUAUUGGAUUUUAAGGAAACAAAAAAAUUAAAAUAUGAUGUUUAUGAAGGAGCAAUAGUAAUAUAAUAAAAAGUGAGAUAGAUAGUAGAACAAGGAGAGGGACAAAAAAUCCAUUGCGGCCUAAAAUUGUGCAAUCUUCACAAAGUGAGCCAAAGCUCCCAUCAAGUGAAUAAGCUGAAGCUAAAGCUCAACUUACUAAAGCUUGAUCCCAAAUGAAAUUCUCCUAACUUGGUUAGUACCGUACAUGAUACAGAUUAAAAAUGAAUGCACUGGAUUUGUACAAACAGGCAUAAAUGUGCAUAUCACGGAAGUUCAUACUUCAUUGAAUGUAUCUGCAAGUCGACUUCAAAAUCCGCACUAAAAUUAGGACCACCAUUCACACUCACCUGAGUUGGUGCAUUCAUAAUGCUUGGCCACCAAAUUGAUGCAAAAAUAUAAAUAAAUAAAUAAAGGCUUAGAGGCAUCCACACACUAGUAUACUUUGUGUAUUGUCACAAUUAUACUGGAUUAAGUUAUACAAAUGUUAUCGUUAUCGAAAAAAUAAUAUGAAGUCGGAACAAUGGGAUUCAAGUAUCAUCUACGUCCAUAUUCUAGUGAAAAUUUUAAUUUGGCCCUCUAAACUAUGCUAUUGUAACAAGCAAGUCCUUUGUUUGUAAAUUAACUAUCACACCCUAAUUGACAAAUUUAAUUUCAAUUUGCUCCCUUCCACUAACUUGGUUUAUACACCACACUAGUAAGCAAAUUAAAACCUUGCACUUGGGGAUCGAUGUCACCCUUGUGACUUGUAAGAAGACGAGAAUUGUUAUUAAUAAGUGUUUAAAGGUAUCGAUGCCUGUUGAUUAGCUUGGUAUAUGUGUUGUUUAUUCAAACACUAAUAUGAUAUCUAGUCUACUUUAGUCUCUCGGCCACAAAUUUUUAAGUAAAUAAGUGUGUUUAGUGUAUUUGAAAAUUGACAUUUAUGAACAGAAAUUAAAACUUUAUCUGUGCGGACAACUCAGUUAACAUAUCAUUUGCUGUGGAUUAGGUAGAAAUUAUAGCAUAUAGUUAGCCAAAUUCACUUGGUCCGUUAGGCCUAUAUUGUAUGAGGCUAUGAGCCUUACCAAAAAUUAUAUGAUGAAACCGUGGUUUCCCUUGGAGAAAUAGCAGAUGGUUUGUCUUGGAGGAAGAUGCAUCAUGGAGCCAGCUAGCUUUCCACUACUAUUCAUGUCAUAAUUUGUCGCACUCGAUCUCAAAACAUUUCUAGUUUCCUAAAGCAUUUUUGGAAGUGUGUUCAUGUCAAAUGUGGAAUCAAGACUGUAAUCAUUUUUCAAACUUUUUUUAACCUGCUUCGCCGUUACUAAUAAGCAUUCGAGUUUCAACUAAACGAGUAGAGCGGAAUCGAGUUUUAACUUAAUUUAGGAACUUGAUUAAAAUUUAUUAAGUUCAAGUCAUAAAGUUAAUACUAUACACAAUAUAUGUAAAAAUGGGUAAAAUAGGUAGUGCUCUAUGAUAACUAUCAGCGCAGCAAAUAUUUGCACUCAAGUUCAAAUUGAAUGUUUGGUUAAGCUGCUCGAAGUUGACUCGCUAUCAAAUGAUGUCUAACUAUUCAUCAGACCAACUUUGUGAGUUGGCAUGAUUCUUUCACAAACCUAAUCAAAAACUUGAUGUCUUUCAAGGAGGGAUGCAUCUUUCGUACCCGAAACACAAACGAUUAUCAGUUACAACCGGUUGGAAUAAUAUAAUGCUUUUUGAAUACGUUGUAACUCUACGUGAACUAUUUUGUAAAACUUCAUAAUAGAUACAUAAUUAAUAAUAAAUACAUAAUUAUUAUACAUAGAACCCCAUGAAUAAUAAUAAAAUGUUACACUUUUUUUGUAAAUAUAAACAAAUAGUUAAAAUGUAGUUAUAACUUCUUUAAAAAAUAUUACACUGUUUUGGACGAUUAUCACUAAUAGGCAGCGGUCCAUGCCCCUGUCUGUCUCCUUCUUGAGCAUGACUAGCAUUUAUAGAACCCCCAAAAAAAUCUCAAGACCACAAAUGUCCCAACAAAAGAACAUCCAAUCCGACACGAAACCCUUCUCGUUGCCCUUCGUCAUUUUUGGAUUGGUCUAAUUGGGCUAUCUAUAUCGCAUAUAGAAGGGCAAAUUAUUCAAUUGGCCCUUUAACUCUUUGUCUAGGUAAAAUUAAGCCCCUCAUCUAUUUUUUGCUGACUUUAAGCCCUUGAACUUGUAAAAUGAGAAAUCCGUGGCCCUUUUAGCCAGUUUCUCCGGUUUUGCAACCGGAGGACCAAUUCACACGAAUGCCAGUGUGCUUCUUUCAAGGGCAUUUUUGUCCUCAUAUUCUAAGUAAAAAGGGUACACAUAGUCCACCUUCUCUCCACUGGCUUAGAAAUCAACGGGGAAUACAGUGGCCAAAAUUUUCCCAAAUGCCCGCCUAGACUCGUAAACGGACUUCCCAAAAACUACUGAAUUGGGUAAAGAAAAAUAAAUAUUCUCAAAGAUGCAAGACUUAGGCUCCAGAUGAGACAUCAGACAAAGAGAUCCAACCCCGUUUUUAUCCACAACCAAUACCUCACCAGGCAUUAAAGACAUCAGAAACCAAACCAAUAUCCUCAAAGAUGCAAGCUUGGACUUGUUAAAGACAUCAGAAACCAAACCAACUCCAGUAAUCGAUUUGAGGAUGUUGUCAUGGACGGAGACGAUGCCGGUGCCUUCUUGGCCGCGGUGCUGGACCGUGUGGAAGGCUAAAUAGCACAGGCGAGAAGCUUCGGGGUCACCAUAGAUGCCCAUCACGCCUCACUCCUCUCUGGGUUUGUCGUCAUAAUCGUCGGAGACGACGUCGGAGAUAUGAUUCUUGGAAGCGGCCGAGACACCGGUCCAGUGGACUUUGCGGGUGUGGGUGACGGGGUGGCAGGGUUUUUGAAAAGGAAGAGCAGAAGGGUUUGUCAUGAGGAGGGGUUGUAAGCGGAAAGAGCUUCUGGGAGGCCGCAGCUGCUGCGGUGGCGGCAGAGACGGCCAUGGGAUUGCGUGGGGGUUGCGCAGGGAAGAGUAAGGGAGGUGAGGGAAAUCAAAUAGAAAGGUGGACUAUGUGUGCCCUUUUUACUUAGAAUAUGAGGACAAAAAUGCCCUUGAAAGAAGCACACUGGCGUUCGUGUGAAUUGGUCCUCCAGUUGCAAAACCGGAGAAACUGGCUGAAAGGGCCACGGGUUCCCCAUUUUACAAGUUCGAGGGCUUAAAGUCAGCAAAAAAUAGAUGAGAGGCUUAAUUUUACCUAGACAAAGAGUUAAAGGACCAAUUGGAUAAUUUGCCCCAUAUAGAAUGCUGUUUAUUUAUUCUUUUGCACAAGACCACAAAUUCUUUUUUUUUUCUUUUUUUUUUUCUUGUUGGGGUAAGGUAAGAGUCUAAGGCCAACCCACUUUAUUCUCCAGUAAAUUCAUUACCCUUGUCUCCAGUUAUAGACGCAGAAUUCAGGUUUUAACCCCUUUGCCUUGUAUUAGUAGGCGGAUUAGUUAAGUCUCCCGUUCGAAUUGAACAAAAUUAUUUCAUUUAAAAUGUCAAGAUUUAAGAAUUCAGACAAGAUAGAACCAACAUAUAUUAGCAAAUAGCAUGCAACAAUUUAUGUUAAAACACUAAGAUGAUUACUUUCAUUGCGUGAAAAUGGCAAUCUGGACGCAUUCAUGAAUCAUUCGGAAGUUAUUUUCAGAUUUUAAUAGCUGUGUGAAAAUGGCAACUGGGCACGAGUGAUCAGUAGUCAUAAGGGCACAGCUGUGAAAGGGAUAUCUGAGAUGGUGAAAUUGCUAAAACACUAAGAUGCUUACUUCCAUUGUAUUACUUGCUAUCACGAGAUAUGGAGAUUUUGUUGUUUUGCAGGGAAAAGUUUAUCUAAUGGAAACGUGAGUUCACAGAAAAAUCAAGAAAAGUGCCAAACAGAAACCACAAACAUAAUUGCUCGCAAUUUUUUGCUUGUACAACUCCUAAUUGGUGACAUGAGAAAUAGAUGACAAAGUAGGUUGAAUCAUCACUAGAUCCAGCUCAAGUUUGAGAAGCUAUGAUCAUGAACUGAUCAACCCUUUGAAAUUCACAGACGUAUGGCAUAAAAGCAUGUGUUGUUCUAGUGAAAAGACCCGGAAUCCCUCAAACAAGCUACAACUGCAAAGAACCUCUCAACUAUAUAAGUUUAGCAGCUCAAUUACGUACCUUUUGUGUUCCCCAUGCAAAGCAUACUACUAAAUGAUCCUUCAAUUUUGAACAACGCAGAGAGGAUGAGCACGGCAUGCGCAAGGAGGACGUGCACAAAUCUAGAUAUGGUCCAAAUUUUAGCACCAAAAAAAAAAUGAUCCUUCGAUUUUUUUUCUUGUGUUAUUAUUAUUGUUAUUUUUUUUUAACGUACCCUUGUUUAAGUAAUUUUGAUCCUUAAAUUAGUCGAAUCACACUUUAAUCCUAGAUAUCUUUUUUUUUUUUUUAUCAUUCUUCCAUGUAAAAGGUCACACUAACAUGUCAUUCAUCAUGAACACACAACUGGAGGGGAAACAAUGGACAAUAAAUAUUUCCCUCCAAUAUGCAGUCAAAGUGGUAUGUCAAAACACAUGAAUUUCUUUUUCUUGUCUUGCGUCGACUUGGAGCUAGCUGGAUGUCAAAAGUCCGAUAAAAUCUAGCUUAAAAAACCCCUUUUUUUUAUUUCCGGGAAGAGAUGGGUGGGACUCGAAAAACGAGGAGGGUAUGGGAGGAUUUGAGUCCAGAAUCAUUUAAUUCCUAAAGUCUCAAUUUAGUCAAACUUAAAAAAUUUGUUUUGCUAGAGAUGGCAAUGGGUAAGAUAAAAUUUGAUAUUUGUGAGUAUUCAAUCCGAUGGUUAAUUCGGGUUACAUGCUCGAUGAGUUAUCCAUUAGAAUUUUAUCUCAUGAGUAGCUACCGAUGAGUAACUCAAACCUAACACAAAUGAAGUUAAUUAUAAUUAAAAAUAGAAGAAUGUUGAUUUAACCCUUCACUAAAUGUUGUGUUUUGCGACUAACGAAACAUGUUCGUAAGCAUGUUUUCAUCAUUAGAUAAUGACAUUUAGAUCAUUCCAUUUGUCUCAGUUUGUUUGGACUAGGAAAAGUAGUAAUAUUAGAGUGGCACGUGAGUUAGCUAAACGGGCAAAAUAUGCUUUAGAUUUUGCAAUUUGGUGGUCUAAUUUUCCAGACAAUGUAUCUCAUGUCAUCGUGACGGAAUAAUUACCUUAAUAUAACUAUUGUUUUUUCUAUCAAAAAUUAAAGAAAAAGCAUAAGUGCAAGAACAAGAGUAAAAUGCACAUCAUCAUGACCAAUGUUGUUAGACUCGGACUAGACAGUGAUUCAGCUAAACUAUUGGAUUAGGGGUCAACUGGUCGGAUCAGUCGGGCUAAUUCUCAAAAACUCGCUGACAUCAGUAUAAUGUCAUAGUUAUUUUAUAUUUUUAUAAGUUUCAAAAAUAUAGAAAUUUGGUUAUAUUCGGCCAAUCAUACAAAAUGUUCCAAAAAUAUUAGACUAACAAUCAAAUAUACACCUAAUAAUUAUAUAUAAAAAUAUAAAUUCAUGGCUAAAAUAUGUCCGUUCUCCAAAACUACUUGAAAAACAUAAUUUAAACAAAUUAAUGCAAGUUGGAAUCACAGAUGCUAAAUUGAUAAAAUGAUAGGGUAAAAAAUAUCUUGAUUUAGAGAUCAUUCAGGGAAGGAAUAAGUGGGUGGCGUUUUCUUAUUCCUAUUAAUAAAUGAAAGUGUUACAAUUUAGGUAAUUCAAAUUAUAUUUGAGAAAAACAAGAAAGAAAAGUUUGAGGACCUGGUCAAUCAAUUGAAACUAAUGACUAGUUUAGCCGGUUUUUGACGGUUUUGAUUGAUUGUUUACCAAAGCAAUUUUAUGCUACAAACCAACUCAAAAAAAAAAGGCUGAUCACGAUCGGACUGGUCGAACCAACCAGUCCAAUCCGAGUCUAACAACACUGAUUAUGACUGACUUUUGUUUUUAGUUUACCAAAAUCAAUAUCAUAAUUAUAGGCUUAGGAAAAUAUUAAAGAGAGAGAGGGAGAGAGAGAUAAAAGUAUGACAACAUAAAAACCAAUUUCACGUAAGACACGGACACUACACGGUCAAGAACAUGCAUUAAUGGUUGCGAAGUAGGAUGGAAAUUAGACUUCUCCACGUCAAGAUCAAAGUCAAGUGAUUUUACUACAAACUUGUAUGAGUGGUCAUUUGGAAAAUAUUAGGGACCCCGUGUAAAAUCAGCAUACCUUCUUAGACUAAAGACCGGUUGUGAAGUGUGAACCAAUGGGCAGCACCAUAGACCUUUCUCAAAGAAACCGCAAUUAUUAACCACAAUCGACAACCAACAGCCCACAUGCCUAUUGGCCACCACUGGUUUUAAGGUUUGGUAAAGUGGGAAGUUAAGGUUCAAAUCCUGUUUUCUAUCACUUGCCAUUAUAUGUCCGUUUGAUCACUUGUCAUUAUAUGUUCGUUUGAUUCGAUAAUGAUUCAAUUUCGUUAAUUUCUUAAUAACUCAAUAGAAUAUGUUAAAGUAAGAAUAAGAUAGAUGAGUGAUUAUUAAAAAAAAAAAAAAGAAAUUAAGAAUCCAAAAUUAUUACCGACUGAAAUUGUGGUCCAGCAGGAUCAGAAUUUAGCUAGUGUGAACAAAUACCAGCUAGUUGCAGAAAAAAGGUGGACUAAAAUAGUGAAAUAAAGAAGCAUGUGUCAGUAUGGGAUUGGCAGAAAAGAUGCAAAGUUUGAAAUGCAGUGAGUUGGUGGCACACACUUUUAGUUGGGUCAUCUGCAGUUAAUGCAUGUGACUGGUACUCUCUGAAUUCUGUCAUCAUUUCCCCACUCAUCAAGGCAUAAAAACAUGUAAGCAAACACAUUAGUUGAAUGAGUGAGAAAAUUAUCGAGAGGAACCAGGAAGUGAGCAUGGAAAAGAAUGAGAAAGCUGCUGCUGUGGAAGAAGUAGAUGAGCCUGAGAUUAACUACAGAGGAAUCAAGGCCAUGCCCUAUAUCAUAGGUUUGAUGAAAGAAAAGAUACCUAAUUUAUCAAUUGGUUAUGAUUCCAGGAACCCCCUUUUUUUUUGGGGGGUUCAUCCCAAGAAAUCGCAGUUUCAAUUGUGUAGCAUCUUUUGCAUUUUUUUCUGAACUGAUUUGGAUUUUUUUUUUGUUCAGGGAAUGAGACCUUUGAGAAGCUUGGAGCUAUAGGAACUUUGUCCAACCUGUUGGUUUAUCUCACCUCAGUUUUCAACCUGAAACAUAUUACAGCUACAACUCUCAUCAAUGUUUUCAAUGGUACCACCAACUUUGCUACCUUAAUUGGAGCUUUCCUUUGUGACACUUACUUCGGUCGUUACAAGACACUGGGAUUUGCUUCAAUUGCCUCAUUUCUGGUACUACCAAUAACUGGCAAAUAAUCUUCCUCUAUAAAUGUUCUCUUCUGUUGAGCUUUACAAUGUUGCACUAAAGGAAUACAUAAGUGUUGAAUUGAACCCUUGUUCUUGGACAAGGAAACAAACUAGAUUCGAUAACGCUAAUGAUUUAUUCUUUUUUAGUUCAAAUUGCGAGAUGAAUAUGAGAAGAUAAUGCUCUGAUUAUUGUAUUUCAUCUACUAAAUUGUGCUACAUUUUUUGCUCAAGGGGCUGCUUCUGAUAUCGUUAACAGCAGCAGCGAAGAAGCUGCAUCCUCCCCACUGCGGAUCAGAAGAAAGCCAUUGCAUUGGGCCAACUGCAGGGCAGUUAGCUGUUUUGCUAGGUGGAUUUGCCCUCAUGAUAAUAGGGGCUGGUGGCAUUAGGCCAUGCAAUUUGGCUUUUGGAGCUGACCAAUUCAAUCCUAAUACUGAAUCUGGAAAAAGGGGUAUCAACAGUUUCUUCAACUGGUACUUCUUCACCAUAACCUUUGCCCAGAUGGUAUCAGUAACGCUAGUUGUUUAUAUACAAUCUGAUGUGAGUUGGUCAAUAGGAUUAGCAAUUCCAGCUAUUUUUAUGUUGGUAUCAUGUUUUCUCUUCUUCGUCGGUACAAAAAUAUACGUAAUUGUGAAGCCUGAGGGAAGUCCCUUGACAAGUAUAGUCCAAGUCAUAGUGGUUGCAGUCAAGAAGAGGCAGCUAAAGCUACCGGAGCAACCAGCGGCGUCCCUUUUCAGUUAUACACCUCCUAAAUCCAUCAACUCUAAGCUUUCGUACACGCACCAGUUCAGGUAACAGUUUGAUUUUUUAUUACAUUGAUUGAUCUUUAAUGGCAUCUUCGUUUUGAGUAUAUGCCAAGUUGACCUGGUCGCGUUGGAAGUUAAAAGCAGCUGCAUUUUUUUUGAGUUCGCCAAGAUGGUUGUAUGGAAGUUAGAGGACUAACUUCUAAUCCUAUUGGCAAAAAAUUCCACGUAGCAAUGAGACCAAAUUAGUAAAAUACACACUCAAAAGAAUUGUCUGCAUCAAGAGUGUGAAUGAUUUUUCACACAUCACAAAAAUCCAGAUACUACUAACACGCACUCGACCGAACCGUCUGCAUCAAGAGUGUGAACAAAAAAGUCCGCACUUCACUAAAGCAAAACUAGUAAUACAUGCCCGGACAAAGCAGCCAGCAUCAAGAGCAUGUAUCUGGCAAACAAGUGAAUGGAUGGACGUGGACUCCGGCAUCUAGAAGCUAUUUUCAAAUUUUCUAGAUGGAUGAAAGCCGACAAGAUUUUCCGUACACUUGCAAUUACUUUUAUAAUCCUAAAUAAACUUUUGCUGUUUUCAGAUUUCUUGACAAAGCUGCAAUUAUAACUCCAGAAGAUGAGAUCAAAUCGGAUGGAACAGCUGCGAAUCCUUGGAGGCUUUGUAGUAUUCAGCAAGUGGAAGAAGCAAAAUGUGUGUUCAGAGUAAUUCCUAUAUGGGCUGCAGCUAUAAUAUACCAUGUUGCAAUCAUUCAACAGCAGCAAUACGUAGUUUUCCAGGCACUUCAAUCCAACAGACAUCUAGGCAAAAGCAGCUUCCAAAUCCCUGCUUCAACCUACACUAUCUUUUCCAUGUUAAGCCUCACCCUAUGGGUACCCAUAUAUGAUCGGUUCGUUGUCCCAUUCCUCCGAAGGCUCACAGGAAAAGAAGGGGGCAUAACAAUCCUUCAAAGAAUAGGCAUUGGAUUUUUCCUUGUCAUCAUUUCAUCACUCAUCGCUGCCUUCAUUGAAGAUCGGAGGAGGACAUUGGCUCUGACAAGGCCAACGCUAGGAGUUCAUUCUCCAAGAGGGGCGGUUUCUUCCAUGACUGCCUUGUGGUUGGUUCCUCAGCUCUCUCUAGCAGGACUUGCUGAGGCAUUUGCUGCCAUUGGCCAAGUGGAAUUCUACUACAAGCAGUUCCCAGAAAACAUGAGAAGCUUUGCAGGAUCACUCUUCUUCUGUGGCAUGGCUGCUUCAAGUUAUGUGAAUAGUUUUUUGCUAUCAAUAGUGCAUCACACAACUGAAGGUUCUCGCUCUGGAAAUUGGUUGCCAGAAGAUUUAAACAAGGGGAGACUAGACUACUUCUAUUUCCUCAUCACUGCUCUUGGGGUCUUAAAUGUUUGCUACUUUGUAGCUUGUGCCAAGUGGUAUAGGUACAAGGGUGAGGGUAGCACUGCUGUAGCUGUGGAAAUGGAAACUAAAAAGUCAGAAAAAGCUGUAGUUUAAGAUGGAUCAAUGAGUCAGUCCUCUUGAAACUGAUAUUGAACAUUAAACAGGAGCAGUUCUCCUCAGAUUGGAAGUUCAUAAAGAUCUAAAACUUCCCGUUUCUUUCUGUACCACUGAGUACACUACCACCUGACACAGUCUCCUUGGUCAAGCAAGAUCACUUUGUCUUUGGAUAAAUACACUUAGAUUAGGAGAAUAAUAUGAUACAAAAAAGGGAAAGCAUCAGCUCAAAUUCCACAUUCUAUGGUUUACAAUUCCACUUUACUGAAAUUCAACAGCUACAUAGCAAAGGAGAUUCGCAAGCAUAGUUAUUAAACUCGGCCCGACCGGCGGUCGAACUGGUGAACAGGACAUUAGACCGGACUGGGUUUUGAGUUAGAUCAUUUAAACAAUUAAUCCGUUGAAUAGUCAACGGACCAGCGGUUCGACCGGAUUAAACCGAAAAUUCGGUCGAUUUUGUCUACGAAUCGGAUUUCGGAGAAAAAAUUUAUGCCUUCCAUGGAAUUCAAACAUUGGACGUCUGGGCAUUGCAACAACGCGGAUACCACCAGGCUACUUCACAAUAUGAUGCUAAGGUUUCUUACUUAUAAUAUAUAAACCUUUUUUCAAUUUUAUCUUUUUUUUUUAUUUUUCUAAAACAAUUUAUCUGGAAUCUUUUAAUAAAAUUUAUGACCCCCAAACUCUAUAAGUUAUAGAAUAGACUUCAAAAAUAACAUAUUACAUAAUUCAUUUUAAAGACAAAUAUUAUUUUUAAUAAUUUUUUGCACUUAAAACUUAUAAAUAAGUUAGAUAAUUACACUAAAUAUAGAUAAAAUUUUAUACUUAAAAUUUGAUGUAUUACUACAUAACUUUAUAUUUUAUUGAUUCUUAUAUGAAUUAAUUAUUUUAUAUCAAAUUAAAUUAUAUGAGUAUUUGCUAUAACAUUAUUUAUUACAAUUUAUAUCAUACAUCUUAUAUUUAAAGUUAUGAAAUAUAAUAUUUAAAUAUAUUUAGUGACCCACCGGUUCAACCACUCAUUCACUGAUUGAACCAAUAAUCUGUUGACCCACCUCAUUCGCCAGUUCCCUCCCAGGUUGGGUUUAAUAACUAUGUUCACAAGUCAUAACUCGCCUUUGCCAUUUGCGAAAAAGCCAACUUAUCCAUUCAAAGAUAUCAUCCAAACUACGAAACCCUGAAUUAUAACCAAACGCAAUGCUUGUCACUAGUCAGUUGUUGCGCCUGCGGCAAGGCAAAACGACCAAGUGACAUACGGAAUACGGCGACAACAACAGCAAAUAGAGAUUCACUUCGUGGAAAAUACACUUGGAUGAAAAAUUUUUUAGAGUAGUUUCCUAUGCUCGACAGAAAAAAAUUCACAACUCAACAGCAAGACGCAAAAGUCAAGCUAAAAAGAGACAGAACCAUGAGAACAAAAACUUGAUGGAUAUAGACAAUACGCUAUGGCAUAACAAGCGUUGAUUUAUCCCACUUCGGGUUCCAGAGAACGCCUGGGAAGGUAUAAAAUUAAAAAUGUUAUUCUAGCAAAUGUGCUGGAAAACAGCAAUCACAGUCCACUUUGAACUCUCUGUAUCAAAGGGAACUCACAUCUAAGUGUGGAUUAUGGGUUAAUUUUUACUCUCAGCACACGUUGCACCCAGGAGCAGCAGCAGUC
This 65784-nucleotide long non-coding RNA is filed under the name Coffea arabica (coffee). Lineage: Eukaryota; Viridiplantae; Streptophyta; Magnoliopsida; Gentianales; Rubiaceae. The record is from RNAcentral.